AUCCAGAUGUUAAGAAGAAUAAAUAAACUUGCAUAAAUUUCUACUUUAAUAAUUAUUCACGAGAAUGUUGUUGCCUCUCCCCGUUGGGAAGUUAAUGAUCUGAAAUUCUGAUGUUGAAAUUUCAAUGUUCGGUUUAGAGAAACAAUAAAUACACAUUCAUUAGAAAACCAUUAGCUUGAGAAUUAUUCGAUUCAAGAUAGAUCCUCCUUACGGGAAGUGAAACCGCUUUGUGCCAUAGAUUUUUAUUACUAUUGCAUUAAAACCUUUCAUCAACAGUUAUAAUUUUAUUAAUUAAAAGGACUUGCCCACUGUACUAAUAAAAUUAAUCACCUCCACAUUAAUGUUCUGCAGAUCCACGGAUGACACAGUGCAAUUCACUGUCAUUUGUACUACAGUGAUGGGGCGUGAAUCUUACGCGCCACAGUGUCGCGUUCAUCUCACUAGAGACAAGCGCUUACCACCAGAAGCAGUACUUGAGAAGCGCCAAGCUUUGCUUCCACUAAGCAGUUAUAAGGCAGCACCGACAUUUAGCAUUUCAAUAAUGGAUUAACUUGAGGGGCAAUAAUCCGGUCAUUUUAGGAAAUUUAAGCAUUCUUCACUAAUUUAGGCUCGGUGACCACUAACGAUAUCUAGAUUUUUUUCUAGUGCUAAAGAGGGAAAACACAGACCAUGGAUCUUUGCAUUAAACUUCAGAUCUGGAGGUGCAUUGCACUCCAGCGCAUGUCAGAUGGUAAGCCAAUCGGAAAAACAACUAAAACGAGCACUGGAAAGUAGAAAGUACCUCAUCGGCCACAGAAGCGGGACCAGGAGAGCUGGCGUCAAGGCUCGGUCCAGGUGCCUCCGUCGGUGGAGCUGGUGGACUCGACAACUCCGGACCAGGAGCAGGUGAAGCAGCGUGCUUCUUCGACUUUUUCUUGGUUGGAGUCGGUGCAGGAACCUCGGCGGUUGGCGCAGCCACUGGAGCUGAAGGAGCAGUUUCCGGAGGAGAGCUUGUUGGUGGAGUAACUGGUGCUGGUGAUGGAGGAGAUUGGGCCGGAGAUUUUGCUGGAGUUUUUGCUGGAGGAGAGCUCACUGGAACUGCAACAGGUGGUGAACUAAUAGGAGCGGCGGCAAGUGGUGGUGUAGCUACCGGAGCCGCAGCCGGAGCUGGCACCUUCUGUUUGGUCGGAGAAGCUGCUGGUGUCUUCGCUGGUGGUGAAGACACUGGAACUGCAACAGGAGCAGGCGAUUUAGAUUUUGCUGGUGCUUUAGCAGGUGCAGUUACAGGCGCUGCAGGAGCCAACGGAGUAGCAGUCGGUGCUGCACCUGGAGCUUGGCCGCCGACGCCGGCGACAAUGAUGCACAUUAAUGCAACAGAAAAAACGCUUUUGCGAUCCAUCUUGGCAGAGGAGAGAGAGAGAGAGAGAGAGAGAGAGAGAGGAGAGAGCUCGAGACUGCGAGAUANNNNNNNNNNNNNNNNNNNNNNNNNNNNNNNNNNNNNNNNNNNNNGAGAGAGAGAGAGAGAGAGAGAGAGGAGAGAGUUCGAGACUGCGAGUUAAAGGUGAAUUAGUGAGAAUGGCAUAUAUAUAGGCCCCGUUUUCCUUAAAAAAUAACGGACAGGUUUAGAUAGAUCUGGAUCGUUUACAAAAGGGGGACCCACUUAAUAGCCGUUUGAUUAACGAAUAGAACUUUUGGACCCCACAAAAUUGGUAUCAAACAAGAAUGUGGCGCUUGACACAGUCUGGAAGGAGGGACCACAAAUGUCCAAAUCUCGGUGUAUCAACGCAUGUGAUUAUGGAGUCUUUGAUUAAGUAAUAAACGCGUGACACGUCACUAAUAUACUUUGGUUAGGGCUUUAUUACGCAUAUUAACAAUACGAUUCUCUGCUGUGAUUGGUCUGGUGUUUUUUGGUUCAAGGGGAAUUGAUACAGCUGUGAGUACUGAGGUGGGGACGUUGCCAGUUUCACAACCAAAUCAUAGAUGGCCACGUGGGGUAUUGACAAUAAUUGUUGUGGAAGUAUUGGUGACUUUAGUUGUAUUUUCGGCCCACCGCCAAAGCGUGGGGCCCUGGUGGAAAUGCUGUCUCGGGGAGCGUGUCUUCUAGCCCAGUUUACUUUUACGUUUUGGGCACUUUCUUACAAUUUUUGUAAAGUAAGAAGUGAGAACUGAGAACCAGCCUGUCUCAUUUUUACAUUUUGGGGUUUUGCUUGUACGAUAAUACAAGUUGGACUAAAAAAUUUUAGGAAUGAGAUAGAUAAAAAAAAGCUAAAGUGUAAUUUCAUAUAUUAUUUGAUAUAAUAACAAUUAAAAAAAAAAUAUCAAUAGUAAGUGAUUUGAUUGGUUUUUUGUGAUAGAUUUUAAAUUUGAAUCUUUCCGAUUACAAGAGUUUUUAAGUUUGAGUCUUGAGUAUAAAAGUUAUCACCAAUUUAAUAAGCUAAAAGGAAGUUUAUUGCUAUUAUGUAGUCCGUAGUGUUAUUUCAGACAAUCGAUCCUCUUAAUGAAUAAAAAAAUAAAAAUAAAAAUAAAUUUUAAUUACAAAUUAAAAUAAUCAACUAAAUACGAUAAUAAAAAUCAUACAUUCUGAAUAAUGUGUGGACUUAUGACUAAAUUAUUUCAAAACAAUAAUGGUUCUCUUUUGAAAACUUUUUUUUUUUUUUUUAAUUUCAAAACAACUUAACUUUGCAGAAAGAAAUUUGGUUUUUAUAAAUAACUUGAAACAUUUUUAUUUCAUUGUUGUAGAUAUAAAAAAUAAAAAAUGCAGAAAGAAAUAUGUGCCAAAAAAAAAAUACUGUUUUAGUGAAUUAUAUCUUACAAUGUAAUACGAAAAUAAGUAAAGAAUUUGUUCUACGUGAAGAGGACUUAAAUAUUUUUUUUUUCUCAUCAUAUGCAGUUGUAAUAAAAAAGAAAACUUGUUUUGUGAGAAUCUUAGGCAAUUGUUUUUAUAAUAAAAACAAAAAUUAUAUAAUUUUAAUAAUUUUAGGCUAUUAUUUAGUGACUCAAAAUAAAAUAAAAUAUAAUAUAAAAUAUUUUUAAUGUUUAUAUAUAAUUAGAUAUAGUGCAUUUGUUAAUAAUUAUUCUUCCAUUUUAUAAUGUACUGGGAAAUUUUUCUUUAUUAAUUAAUAAUAGAUGAUAAACACAAUAUGAUAAUAUAUAUAUUACCAUAUGCAAUUGUAACUCGAGAUCUCCAAUUAUUGAUUAAAAAAAAAAAAAGAAAAGAAAACUUGAUCGAGAUCUUCAAGUAAUAGUUCCAGUUGUUAAUUAAUUAAAAACAUCAUAUAAUAAUAUUAAUAUCAUUAAAAAAUGAUCAAUUGCAAUAACAUAAACACAGAAUAUAUUAUAUAUAUAUAUAUGGUUGAUAUAUUUUAUUUAAUGAAAUCACCUAUAGUUCAACCAAUUGCUGGCAAUAGUCAACCAAUAACAAGUGUGAGUCUUGGACCAAUAAUAUUAGCACCUAUUAAAAUAAUUCAAUUUAAAAAAUUAUACUUAUCGAAUAUCUAUUAAAUGGUUAAAAAAUACGAAAAUUAAUUUUUUUAUUAAUUUAUUCUAAAAUAUGCAUCUAAUACCGUGAUUAGUGGACAUAUGUAUAUAAUUAAAAAAUGUAUAUAUUUAUAUUGAACAUGUGAGCUUUUACAUAAUUUGCCAACUUAAAAUUUAAGAAGCUACUGUUUUUCUUUUUCUCUUUGGUACAAUUCAAAUGUCAAUUUAUCUAUUGAGCUUUGUGUGUGUCUGUAGAGAGAGAGAGAGAGAGAGAGAGAGAGAGUUGUGAAGUUCCUUCGCGAACGGCAAAGCCCAAUAUAUGUAGACGCAUAGCCUUUAUAUGAAUUGGGCCAAUGCCCAAUCAGAAUAAAUCAUAAUUCAGAGGGUAGAAGCCCAAUGAGCUCAGAAAACUCGGACGCCCAAGUCCCAGAAAUUCCUUGAGCCCAACAACAGUCCAGUGCACUUUGGACACAUGAUAUCAUAAUUAUUUGUAUAAUAUAUUGAUGUGGAACUUCCUAAGACAGAUCCUUGGAAACUUAACAAGAUUAGGAUUUUAAAUUUGUAUUUAUGCAUUGUUCUUCUGUCUUUCACCCAUGAAAUAUUCACAAACAUUAAGGUUUUAACAUCUUCCAAUGCUUCCAUCUUGUUAAUAUUUGUUGUGAUGUACACAUGUCAAGAAAUGAAAUAUGCAUAAACUAUGUAUUUAAAAACUUACUUUGUUUGAUGCAUUCGUAUUAUUAAAUUAAGUUCCAAAGCUUAAAAGAUGGGACUAAUCAUUAUUUUCAUAUAGUUAAAGAGUGUUUGCAUAUGAUGGCCAUAUUUUCUUGAGACCAACCCACUUUUGUACUUGAAAGAACAUAGAUUAUGGGUUUUCUAAUUGGCUUCUUUGUGUUUAAAACAAACUGAAAAGUAAAUUUUUAAGUAGAGUAUGUUCAAAACCAAGGCAUGGAGGGGACCAAGCAAUGCCAUAAGUUUCUUUGUUCUAAAGAGACCUAAGAUAUGGUGAGCCACUGAGCAUCAUCAUUCAUGACUGACAUAUUGUAGUAAUUGUAGAUCCUCUACCUCUACCUCUACCUCUACCUCUGCAAUUCAAUUUCUUUUUUUUAUAUAUGUUCUUUUGUAAGUUUUGAACUUUCUGUUUUACAUGGGUUUUUGUUCAUUUGAGUCACAUUAUCACCUCAAUACUAGCAAUAAUUAGUUGAUAUAUAUAUUUUUUUUGAAAGGAAUUACUUGAUAUAUAUGUGUUCUUCCAGAAAAGAAUUAUGCAUUUUUACUCAAAUUGACUGUUUACACCUCAUCUCCAUAUUUGAAUUUUUAAGAUUUUUCUUUUCCACUUUCAAUAAUUUCUUUUUAUUGGAAAUAAAAUCUAAAUUCCACUUUUUAUACUAAUUAUUCUCUUAAUUUGUCUAGUCAAUUAGUAGCUAUGAUUCAGUUUAGUGAUUAUAUAUUAAGUAGUGUGCUAGUUGCCUGAAUACUUUCUAUUCUAGCUUUAUAUAAUUAUAUUAUAUGAUAGUUAUAUGAGGAAGUUGCAUAUUUUUUGAAAGAAAUUAUGAUAAACAAAACAACAUUAUUUUAGUAGGGGAAAUGAAAUUGUUAUAAAAAUAUAAAAUAAAUAACAAUUUCUUUAUUUAUUCAUUCAUCAACUGAGAUAUUUUAAUACUGGUAAACAUUGCUUCAAACCAGAAUAUUAAAUGUAAAAGAUAAUAUUAAUCCUUCCAAUUCUUUUUUCCCCCCUAUAAGAUAUAUAUCCUUAUAAUCUCUAAUGAUAGAUGUCAUUACAACACCAAAAUUUAAACCAAAGUUGGCAUCUUUUGUUGCUCACUACAUUCCAAAACCUCCAUCAGAGUACAAACUUCAUUUUUUUUUUUAAUUACACUUAUUGAAAUGGAGAAUUCACUUAAGUGCACUUCUUCUUCUUCUUCUUCUUCUUCUUCUGCUUCUAAGAUCCUCCCAAACCCAACAUGCAAAAAUCCUUUUUGCUUCUUUUGCGCCGUGAAUGAACCAAACCCAUCUCUCAGAAGAUCCAAAAUUACCAAAUUUUUCAAAGAAAUGCCUCUAAGAGAUGACCAAGAACAUGUCUUGGUCUUAAGUGGGUUAUGGAACAUCGCCAUGACUCAACCAAACGACCCUGAAUUCCCAUCUCUAGGCAUCCUUGAAUGCAUGGGGAAACUUAUAAACAAAGGCAUCAAAGAUAAAGAAUGGCUUCUUAGAGACCAAAACGUUUAUAUUCCUUACUACGCAGCUCAUAUAAUUGGUUCUUAUACCAUGAACAAGAUUGAAUUUGCAGAGAAAGCAAUUAAUUCAGGUGUAGUUUUGCCUCUAAUGCAACUUCUUAGGGGGAAAAUCACAUGGGUAGAGCAAAGAGUUGCAGUUCGAGCACUAGGUCACUUGGCUAGCCAUGAAAGAGCAUUCGAAGCUAUUGCUAAUGAGUUUGAAGUGGAGAUUGUUGAAUUAGCUAUAGAAUUAGCCAGUAAUUGCUCAAAGACAAUCUAUAAAAAGUUUCUUGGUGUAAAAGAUAGAAAAAGAUUGAAAUAUCAUUGCGACUUGCUCACAAGAGGUAUUGGAGGGGAAGAGAGAGAAAACAGAAAGGCAGAAGAAUGGGCAAAUCAGUUACAAUGUUGGUCUCUUUAUCUCUUAAAUUGCUUUGCAUGUAAAGAAAGGUCAGUUAGUAUUAUAUGCAAGAAACAACAGUUCUUGAAAGAUUUGUGUGGCUUGUGGGGUGGAUUAGGCAACAGAAAAUCACCUGGUGGGGUUGGACUUAUAAGAAGUUUAUGCAAUACAACAAUUGGUAGAGAAAGUAUAGCAAAUAUAGAAGAAGUGAUAGUGGGUCUAUGCAACAAAUCAAGAACUUGUGAUUAUUGGCGAUAUAUGGCUAUUGAUUCUCUACUCUUAUUGCUUAAAGAUACAAAUACAAGAUAUAAAGUUAUAGAAAUUGCAGCUUCGUUUCUUGCUGACUUGGUUGAGCUAAAAAGCUUAAAAGAAAAAGACAAAAUUGGAGAAACAAUUACACAAACAUUAUUGCAAGAUUAUUACAAAAUCAAAUAUGGAGGCUUGAAAUUGAAGAACCAAAUUGCAGAGGACGCAUUGAAGGAAAUAUGGGAGUUAAAGGUGGAGAGAAGAAAGAAAGAAGAGAUAAUUUCCAAUAAAGAAAUGAAAGAAAGGAAAAACUUGGCUCAGAUUUUUAAAAGAAAAGGAAAUAAGAAGUUUUGGUCUGGCUUUGUUGAAAAAGCUGUGGUUAAAUAUACAAAAGCUUUGGAUUUAUGCCCAUUAAAGAUGAGAAAAGAAAGGAUAGUUCUUUAUAGUAAUAGAGCUCAGUGCUAUUUGUUACUUAAAAUUCCAGAAGCUGCCAUUAGAGAUACAACCAGAGCUUUGAGCCUAUGUGAUGGCAAGAGUCUUCAUAGAAAGAGUUUGUGGAGAAGAUCACAGGCCUAUGACAUGAAAGGGAUGGCUAAGGAAAGCUUGAUGGAUUGUUUAAUGUUCAUCAAUGUGAAUGUCAAAAUCCCAUACUACGCAGCUCGCAUGAUCAACAAACAAAUGAAUGCCACGUGGAUUUUUGCAGAAGCCAAGUCAAAGAGGAAAGCUGAAAAAAGAGCAGACAAAUCCAAUGGGGAGGAUAAGGUGAAGAUGAUGAUGAAGAUCAAAGAGAAGAAAGGUGAAUGCAUGUUCUUGUUAUUUAUUCAUUUAUUUAUAUUUUUUAUGUCUAAAAGAACUAUUUUAGCGACUGAAUUUAGGUAAUGGAAGUUACAUCCACUACAAAAAAAGAACAAAAAAGUUACACUUUUGUCUCUGGUAGGACUGCCCACUGUACAAGAAGAAUCGCUGGGCGAAAGGGAGAGAAGCAAACAGCAAGGUACGGCAAAACGGAGAAGAGAAGCUGCAGGACUCACUGCUGCUUUGGCACGUGUGAGAAUUGUUUGAUAGAUGUGGUCAAAGAGUUGUGCAAUUUCAGGAGUCAGGAGAGCAAAAUCAUGAAAUAGGGCCACUGUACUCUGUCUAAUUAUUAUUAUUCUCUCAAAAUAUUAAAUUCCACUACUCAUUAGAGGUGAAGUAUUAGCAUAAACUCAUUAAAUGUAAUUAAUUAAAGAAAUUGUCGGUGAACUAAUAUAUCGUGUCCUUAGUAUUUAUGAUAUUUUGAAGCAUAGAAUUGAAAAUGCUGCUGCAUGAUACCGGAGAGUGUUGAGAAGCUAUUCUUAAAUUUUUAAAUUUAAGAAUUUAGGACCAAUAAUCGGUCGGAUCCUCAAAAGUGCACUGUAUCUUAUCUUUUGACCCCAGGCGACUUUAUUUGGAGUCGUUAGAGAAUUUUAUUUGAAUUCGCAACAGUUUAAGGGUAUAAAUUACUUUUUCAUGAUUUAUUUUCUUAUCUUUUGGUGAGCUCACAAUAUUUUUCCCCUCCCAAUUUGUAACAUUGAUACCUGACCCUGUUACAGAUUAAGACACGUAAUCUAAUUACGACCAUGAUAGCUAGCUUGAAAGCUAACCGAAAUCUUUUAUAAUACCUAAUCUUGAUUUUUCAUGUAUCAUGUCGUACCUAACUCACUAAUUGUAUACUUACAAGAGGACAUAAACAAUAAAUUAUUGUCCUGAUCCAACAAUUCCCAUAAAGUAAUUUGCACUUUAGUGGACAUAACACAUUACAUAGGAUACUAGGCAUAUUUCCUCUUGGCGUUUUAAGGCCAAAUUCAAAUUUUAGAGACAUAUUUCAGAAUUUUGGACCUAAAAUGCAAAAGGCAAAGUAAAUAUCUAACAUAUAAUUAUGGAUGGAAGCAUAUCCAUAAUUUUUUAAUUAUUUGUACCUAUACAUCUAUUUAGUAUUCACCAUCCAUAUAAAUAUACCUUUAAUAUCCAAAUCUAUUUAAAAUUUUAUUAUCUAUACAUAUGCUAAACUCAUUUGAAUAAUUGUAUCUAAGUACGUUUAAAAUUUUAUUAUCUUUACACAUGCCAAACUCAUUUGAAGUAUUUAAAAAUUUAAACAAUUCAAAUCUAAAUUUAUUUAUUUAAAAUACAUUUUUUAACUGAUAAUUAGUAUAUCCACUAUCAUUGAAUUUAUUCAUUUAAAAUACAUUUUUAACUGAUAAUUAAUAUAUCCACGACCAUAAUUCAUUUAAUAUAACAGGUAAGGUAAUGAUAGUGAAUACCCAUAGCUCUAUCUCAUAACAUAUUCAUAUUCAUAUCCAUUAUAAAUAUCACUUUCGUUCUAUAAUAUUUAUCACAUUUGUGAUUUCAAUGAAUAAUAAAUCUUUUUUUUUUUUCAUGUUUGCCUUUUAUAUAUAACUAAUAAUUAUUGCUUUAAUUUCAUGAUUUUAGAGAAUUAAUAAUAAAUUAAGAGUAAUAUAGUCAAUUUACUUAAUAAUUUAUCAUAACUUAAAUAAAUUUAAUAAUUUUUUUAAAGAAGAUAAAAUUCUAAAUAUGUCGGGUGAUACAGAAUAAAAGUAGUAGGCAGUAAUAAUUUCAUCACUCAUCCAUCCUAAACCUAUUUAUAAGCAUCUGGACCAUCGUUAAAUGGAUCAGAACGAAGCAGUCUACUUUCAAAUGUCCUGCUUCCAUCCCACAUACAAUAAUGUCUAUGGACUUCAGGUGAUUCGCGUUCAAUAAAAUUUAAAACAUCUAUCAAAUCAAUGGGCACGCUGACCUUUUUUUUUUUUUUUUUUGAUAUAUACAUAUAUAAUCAGCCAAAUAUAUGCAAAUUAAAUUAACUGAAUUUUAAAUAAAAAUUUUAUUGACAAAGCAAACUUUUAAUUUGAUUUAUUAUAAAACUACACACUUCUUUUGAACAAUUGAACUUGUAAAAUCACAUCAUUAAACAUAAACUCAAGCAUUUUUUUUUUAAAUUACUCAACAGAUUGGUAAUAAAUACAAUUUGGUAAAUUAAAACAUUUCAUAUACACAACUUAAAUUGAAUAUUCAACUGGAUAAAUUUAGAAAUUAAAGUGUUUAAUCAGUCGAAUUAAAAGGCGAGGGUUCCGACAGACCUUUUCAUACAAUUUACAUUCUGCUUAAUGUAAUAUAUGCUUCAAGUAACAGAAAAUCGAAUCUAAAUUAAGGCAUAACUAAAAAAAAAAAAAAAAAGGCAACAUAAGCACUUCCUAUAUGUCAGUCGACCUUCCCUUCAUCACUAUUGGGCAAAGAGCAUAGCAGGUUAGAUUUGACAGAAUCCCAAAGUAUAUACUACAAAUGAUAGACUACCUCAGUAAUGUAAGUUCUUUCGUCGAGCUAAUGUAAUGGAACACAAUUGCAAUGCAUGGAUAUGACAGAUAUCUCCAAUGAAAUGAAUCUAACGAGCACGGAUUUAAUUUGGGUGUCAGGAGAACUGGAUUAAGGAUGUAAAGAAAUUUGCAACUAUAUUAUUCUACAAUUGCUGUACAACACAAUCAUACAACAAAGAGGAAUGCUUACAAGACUUUUAAGUCAGUGUGUAUGCAAAGGCAUCUUGAGCAACUUGAACUCGUCUGUAUGGGUCCACUCGAACACUUUCCAUGAAAGACCAGCUGCUGUCUGCUGCAUCAAUUUCGAAUUUACACAAGUUCAGACAAAAAAAAAAAAAAAAAAAAAAAAAAAAAAAGAGGUUGAAUUUGCAUGGGGAAUUCAAUAUAACUAAAAAAGGACAUCCUUGCUGAGUGAAUUAGUUUCUCAGAGCAAAGAAACAAACUUAGCCCAUUUGAUAUAAAUGAAUUCCACGAAAUUUUGUGAAAUUCAUGUUUUAUGUUUGAUAUGGACAAAAAUGAGAUCCAACAUAAUUAAAAUAAAUCUUUACCUUUUAUAAAUGAGUUCUAGAUUUCAAAUUCGUUUGAACCAAAUAAGGGUGAAUAGCAAUGAAAUUCACGCAUUAAAGUAAUGCAUAAUGCAUCAGAAUUACCAUGUGCAAUGUUACAAAAAGAAAGAGACCUGAACGACAGACCCCUUUUACUGGUACCAUCAAUUUCAACUCCAGUUAUCUGUUUUAUAAGUCCAUUCCAAAAGCUCUCUUCAAAUGCCAGGGGCCUUACCAUCAUAUUUUCACCUUCACAAGGCAAUCAUCAAAUUUGCCUGAUACUUACUCAGUGAACAACUAAUGCAGCAAACUCACCUCUUAAGGAUUUGAAGGAGCUCAAUCAUCGUAAGAGCUGAGAGCAGCUACAACCGAUCCUGUUGUUGCAAAAGUUGAUGCCACAUCUGGAUAAUCUUUCCAAGAUGUUGUGACCUUGAGUGAUGGAUACAACCAACUCUUAGCAGAAUCCACAAAAGAGCUUGGGUCAAAGUUCAGAAUUGCUUCCCAAUCCACCUGUACCCCUUUUGGAAUUUUCUCCUCAAACUCCAUAUUAGCAGCAAGAAGCAAUCCAAGCAAAACGAUAAAUCCAACUGCAGCAGUGCCUCUAGACAGUGGCAUAAAAUUGUACCUGAAAAGUGAUCCCAUUUAUUUGUACAAACCACCAUAUUUCUCUGAAGAAAAAAGAAUACCUUCUAUGUAUUAAGAGUAUUUUUCUGUACCAAUAAUAUGUCAUCCUCAAAAUUGCAUCUCUAACAUUUUCAAGUACAUCAAGAUCAGUAGACCCAUAGUUUUCACUGCAAUAAGCAUUGCACACAGCCUGUGAAUCAAAUUUUGAAACAUUCAGUUAAUAAUAAAUAGAAAACAAAUAAAAAUCAAUGUCAACAGAAGAUCCAUAUGGAUCAAAUUAAAGAGGUACUGAAUUUGACACAAUUAGUAGGAGAAUUUAGGAAUAAUAUUAAGGUGCAAUUUUUCAAAAUUUAUGCGUCAGCAAAGAUUGAAAGGAAAAAUCCAUGUGCUAAAAGUAAAAGAAGUAUAUGUUAUCAGGCUGCUGCUUUACUAGUACAAGGAACUCAUUCAAAUAAUCACAAAAUGCAAUAAGUUUGCCCAUACCAAUUUUUUUCAUUGUAUAUCAUGUCAAAGGAUAAGCAUAUGAAAAGAUCCGGGACCUGGAUUUAUACACAAAUUAAUACUGAGAAAAGGAAGCUUCCAACCAACAAAUAAAAUCCCUUGCCAAACCUUACUCGGGCAAAUCUGGAAGGUUAAUAUUUACACUGGAAGAGAUAAAUAAACUAAAUGACUGAUUUAAAAAGCUUCUAGACAAGUUCAAUUGAAGUCUUGACACAAAAUAGACUAUUUUAUGUCAAACCAGAUACCAAGUUAUCAAAUUUGAAGUGCAAAAAUUAUCUAACAAGCUUAACUGAUUAGUACAAAGAGUUCACAGAGAUGACACCAUAAAAAGAGAGAAUUGAACAGUCACGUGCAAAAGGAAACUUCAACUCCUUUGUGUUCUGUGAUUCUUUAUUCUAUCAAUAUGUUGCACCAAUUAUAAAAGCAGCAAAGGAUAUGAUUGAGAAAAUUAUGGGUUCAUUUAUUGAGAAAAUGGGAACCUUACCUCCCAAGCCAUUGCCAUUUCGGCAUCAUACUCAUCCCAUCUAGAAGGUGUACAUGGUGUUCUUAUUGCAAAGUCAAAUCCAUGCUCACCCCUGGAACAAUCAUUUCGAUGUUCAGCCAUCCGGGAAAGCAUAAAAAUGCAUAAGAAUGUAAACUUAAAAAAAAAAAAAAUCAGAAGAAAUAAAAUGGAGAAUAAUUAGGAAAAACAAAUAGGACUUACAUCUUCACUAGGGUAAUCCUUGUCCCUUCAAGCUGCUUCCUGAAAAGAGUAUAAACAGCCAAGAGUAAUGUUAUCAUUGGGAAAUUUUAUAUGCACUAUAUAUUGCAUAUUGCAUUUCAUAAUUAAAGGAAAGUUACCCCUCAGUUGCUGUACUGUUGCACCAUGUAGCCAACCAGAAGUCCUCACCAACCACUUUGUAAAGAUCAGAACAAGUUUUUGCAUCCAUGAUCUGUAUGUUCCAUAACGAAAUUAACCAUAUGCAUAUAGAUAAACCAGUUUUAUUUCAAUGACAAAGUGGGAGAAUAAUUGAUGAAACUUAUAGAAUAAUAUCAUAUUAAUAAAAAACGGAUCACAUUUAAUAGCCCCAUGAAAAGAUACUUCUAACAGUAGUAAAAAAGAGGAAAAACCAAAAUGCUGACAUAGGCACGCCCAUAUAACCACUUUAGAAACAGGUUGAUUUCUUUCAUUAUCUACAUUACAAAGAAUGACAGACAUGAUCCUAUCUUAGAGCAUCAUUGAAAAGCAACAAAAUGGAGGAAGAUAAAAUUGAAACAGAGAAUUGAACUACUCACAUCCUGUAAUUUCUCAUCCUUGGAUAUAUCAAUGAUUUCAUCCGCCUUGCUGCACACAUACAGUUUAUCCUUCAUGAUUGUCUUUGCAGCAUUUAAUGUUCUGCAGAUUUAACAACUGAUGAGAAUUUUAAAACCUGGAUGGACCUAAUAAAGAAUCGAACUAGGAUUCACCUUUCAAAAUUUGGGUAGUAGCGAACAACUUUUGCUUGUCCAAGAAUCAAUGGUGUGUGAGACCCAAAUCCAGAGUUAAACUCUUCACUGAAUUGAAGAGAUGCCCAAAUCCAUACAAAAAGAAGAAUUACAGCAAAGACUUGAGUCAGUUAAAAAACUCAUUCAUCUUGAAUCUCUAAAUAAUACACAAAGUCAUCCAAACAGUGCCAAAAUCAGACAUUCUGGGGACCGGAUUAAGAUUGAGGCAUAGAAUUGACAGGUGCUAUGAUAUCAAUAAUUUCGCAGGUCAAAUACAGGCCAUGACUGCUCAGCAUGCAAAUACUCAGACAAUAGAUGAACUAAUUGAUUAAACUGGUACAAACAUCUAUGAACAGUCUAGAAUGCCAAUUCCCAGAUAUUACAUAACAAAAUCUGUAUAACUAAAGUAGUAAAAUGUGAAUCUUGCAUAACACGUAUUCCAAUGGUAAGUAACAUGUCCUGUUCAUUUUGAUGGGCUAGAGUAAUAGCAUGAAUUUGGUAUACCUUAACUUGUUAACCCACACAACUGGGUCACAGGGCUCAGAAAUUUGUCUCCAUUUGACAGCGAUAGAGUAAACGUCUUGCCACGUCAUCUUAUAACGACCGGGAGAUCUAUCUUCUGUAAUGCCGUACAAAGUUGAUGUUUCUGAGGAACUGCUUGUACUGCAACCGGCGCCACCUCUAUUCUGACUGGCCAAGUUGAUUCUUCUUCGAGUUCUCUUACCAUAUUUUGACAUGUUUUUAUUAGAAUGUUUCCAUUCGGCCUGCAAAGAACGCCAGGCUUUUGAAACCUUUUGUGCAAUUUCAAUAGCUGCUAGUCCUGCCAUGCGAUGCUGAAACAGAACAAAAGAUGAACCAUAUUAAUAUAUACAAACUGUAACAAGAAAGUAACAUUAAGUUGACUUAUGCACAGUUAUGGGGCAACAAGAUAUGAUUAAAACUCAGGUGCGACCUGAACCCAACCAAGCAGAAUAUCAACGUAUAAGAUUAUCACAAGUUCAUUACAGGUAGAAGAAUAAGGGAAGUAGAUCAAGAGCAAUCUUGUUAUGUCUUUGAACAUGAUACCAAUAACAUAAAAUGACAACUUGAAUUGACAACAAGACUCAGUUUCCUGUACACGAUUCACCUCAUAGUUAUUUUGUUGCUCUUGUACAGGAGAUAUCUUUCUUUUUCUACCCUAAAAAAAUCCUAUCAGGCAUUGGCACACCUCUUGGUGACCUUUGGUUUGAUUUCGUUUCUUCUAAAGAGAGGAGAAAUUGUAAAUCAAAGAAUUAAAACUAAACCAAUUUGGUUAGGGAUACUUCAAUUCUAUCACCACUUGACAAUUAUACCAGAAAUUGCUACAUCAAUUUAUGAUUUAUAGAGAUAAAACCAUCAUAUCACCAACUUUUGAAACUUCCAGACAUCCAUUGGUCCCAGUCGGGAAGAUUGACCCAAUGUAAAAUGCAUGACAGGGUAACAAUGUACAUUUAUGCUACGUUUGGGAAGAGGGAGGAAUUAAAAUAAGAGUGGAAGUAAAAUUACACUAUUCACUUUCCUCCAAAAUGAAGUGAAAAUUGGGCUAAAAAUGGUGUAAAAUAAAUUCAUUUUACAUCCUCCUUAAUAUUUUCACCCAAACCAAACAAAGAAUUUUGAAAAUUCCAAGGCAUUUUACCCUCUAUUUUACAUCCUCCCUAUAUUUUACCUCCAUCCAAACAAUCCAUGAAGCAUUUUGCAUGCUGACGAGAUCUUUCUAGUAUAGAGGGCCCAAUUGACUUGCCAAUGAAGGCUUCAGGAAAACAGAAGCUCACACCAUGAAUCAGCUUAAUCUAAACAACAGAACGGUUUCUAAAACAUGCAUUUAUGCCAUCAAAUGAAAAAACACCCAAAAAAAAUCUGCAUUGCACAUACUAAAUUUUAUAAGAAGCAAAAUUAUCCUAUCUUUCAAAGGAUGAAUUAAUAAAAAAAUAAAUCAUUAGUUUUUUUUUUUGUUGAGAAUCUAGAUGAGAAACUUAAAAGAUCAAAAGUAAAAGUGCAAGAUAGACUAGUUAGCGAUUCAAAACUAUAUGAAAAAAUUAUAAAGACAUAUAAUAAGCUUUCUAUGAGAAAGGAGAACUGAAAGAAAAUGAAAACUAGAACCCAAACAGAAAGAGCACUGCAUUACAUAUAUCUUUCAAAAAUUAAUCACCUGACGCCUAUUGGGUAAGAAGCCAGGGCAAUCAUAUUGAAUCUUCUUGCCAAUAGAAUCAGCUGCCAAUAGAAGAGCAGUCUUUGGUUUUGUAAUGGCAAAAUCUUGCUUUCUCAGCUUACCCCUUUUCAGAGAAUCAUGAAGAGGAGGUUGGCGGUAAACCUUCUCGCACACAUUCUUGGGGUGCAAUCUUUUGCACCAGUACUCCUGAAAAUUCAUUACGGCAUGCACACAAAAUAAAUAUGAAAUAUGUGCUCACAAGAAGUUGCUGAAGCAUUGUACUUUCUGCACAAUCUGGCAUGUUAACUAGUAAAUGGUUCGAUGUAAGCAUGUGAUUAUUUCUGAAUGUGUGAUUAUUUCUGAAAGAAAAUUUUUUGUGAGGUCAUGGUUCAGCUCUCAUAGAAUAUUUUAAAAAAUGUUUAAGAUUUCGAAGAAGGGACUAUUCAUGAGUGAAAAACAAGUAAAAGAGUACAUAUAAAUGUGUGUAUUGUGUGUGUAUAUAUAUGUAUUGUACGUUUCUUAUUCAUUAAUACCUUGAAAAGAGGAUCAAUGUCUCCAUCAAUAUCAAACCAACAGAAAUCACUGUUAAUUUUAGAAGCUGUAUACAAAGCAAGCUCCUUCUGCAAAAGAUAAAAGCUAAAUUUAAAAACUUUUCCAUAGAGGCCAGGGUCAGAUAUGAGCUAAAACAAUCAAUUGCCGACUGAAACUAUUAUAUUACAAAAUGACUUGGAUAGCAAUAUCUUAUGAAAUACAGUUAAAAACAAUAAAGCAAAACUGAUAUAGAAAAAUGCGUACAAACAUGCUAAAGAUGCACAAUAUCAAUCUACAAAUGGAUUUCUGAUGCAGCUCAAGCAUGUGAAUUCAUUGAAUGAGAUAAAUGUUGGAAAUAAAAAGCAGCACGUGAUAAAUUUUCAAGUUAAAAAUAAAAUAUUCUAGAUCAACCACACCUGAUAGAAGGCUAAGCAUUGAAGCACAAAUUUCUCCAUUGAGUCUAGUUCAAUAUCUAGAGUUGCAUCAUAAUCCUUCACCUGUGACCAUCGAACAAAAUUAUUGCAAACAGAAAAUACAAGAUUAAGCAAUCUGCAACUUAUGAAUAAGACCAAUAGUUUUCAUGGAAGAGACCUUACCGCCUCUCCAUAUUCUCCAAUAGCAUGGUAGCAGGAACCCCGUAAAUAUAAAUAUUCUAUGUUUGAAUUUUCAAUACUCAAGCCAAUGGAUAAAUCCUUGAUAGCCUUCCUGCAACAGUAAAAUCUAAAUCAGUCACUCAUGUCCAUGCAGAACUAGUUAGAAAAUGAUGUGCUGCAGAAGAAGACAUUGCAUUUAACUCAAUGAUAAAAUUCGAAGAGUAAAGUGUAAAAUUUUCUAACAGAACUUAUUGCAAAAUUUUAUUUUGAUUUCUAUUUGACACUCUACCAGGUUAUUUGCAAAUUUAUCACAUAUAAACUCCAAAAGGGUGGUACACAUCCGCCUAAACAAUAGCCCUUUUUAUCUAAAAAAGAUCCAGAAAUAAUUAAUGUAGAAAACUACACACUUAGAAAACCACUGUAGCACCCAUACAAAUCAAGUGGCUAAGAACUUUUCCGUCUGGCUUCACUGUCACUUAUUGCUUUUCUCAUCAAUCUCUUGCUGUUUCUUUAUACCUUAGGGUUGAUAUCUUGAUCCUCCAUACAAUAUGUAAAUAUCCAUCUUCCUCAACAAGUUGAUUCAUAGCUAGAAGAAUAAGUGUGCAUGUGUAACCAUAAUACCACGCAACAUUCCAAACCAGAAAUAAAAUAAUUAGAUAUUGCUCAAAGGUAAAUGAAGAAGCAUAGUAAGCUAGAUAGGUCAACUUCAAAUGCCCUAAAUGUAUAAAAAAGGCCUUCUGAAGAAUUUUAUCAAGAUAUAUGGCUUUCCUUCAAACAGUUUGCUGAUAUACACGAAUGUUAUACUAAUAAUGUUUGACUUAAACCCAUAAAGGCAGGGAUGCUUUGUUGUAGCCUUGUAGACAGUACUGAUCAUUACAAUUCAUCCACACAAUGUGUAUGUAUAUAUCUAAAAGUAGGAAUUUAAAUGGAGGGGCAACUGUAUAAAGAAAACAGAAAAUCAAAAUUAAAUGCACCCAUGCAUAUUAUUCGAAGAAAAAGUACUUUUUUUAUAAAAACCUGAGUGAUUUGCACAUAAUGCCAAACUACAUUCUCAAUCAAUUUGCUAACUAAAACAAAUAUUUCAAAUAAACGCCAAGUCCCCUACUACAUAAACACCUUACCAUUUUAUGAUUUCCCGCACUUCAAAUAUUCAUAAGAUGAUGCAAAUUAAAAUGUAUACAAUGGUCACAUAAAUAAAAAUAAAUAAAUACACCACUGAGAGAAAAUCAAGAAAUUGAUAUUGACAUCACAUAAAUGAUGGAAAAAUCUACAAGAGGUGUAAUAGUCACUUAAACAAAUAAAUAUUUUACGGAAAAUCAAUAAUUUGAUAGAACAUACCUGUGGUCUCCCAUGCCAUGAAGCAGUAGCCCACGCAAGUAAUAGGCUUUUGCAAACCUAUCAAAUGUAAUAACAGUAUCAAAUUCAAGUUGCAAAAUCACAAGCAGAAUCAGAUACAACAAAUUCAUCAUCAAACAUUACACAUUUGCAACAGGAAUGAAAUGAUGCAGACUGAAGAGUGACAACAAUUACCUUGCAUCAAUUUGGAUAACUUGUUGACUGCAUUCGAAAGCUUUUGAUGAGUUUGCUAAAUCUUGGUAGAACUGCAAUGAUGCAGAUAUUGAAACAACAGUAAGUAAUAGAGCUUCUUCACAAGGAACUUGUCAUACUGACGGAACAAUGUGUUGUGAAGGUGAAAUUUGCAACUCUAUAUAGUAGUAAAGUACUGAACCUACUCAUCGUUGUCACUGUGUGCUUGCAAAGAAGUCACUAUAAACCAUCAGCAUUUUUUCAACCGUUUGUGUAGAUGCUAUGAGUUAACCAAAAUAAAAUAAAAUAAAUAAAACUUCUGUAGGAAUAGCAUUUUCCUUCAGCUUCUAAUUUCUUGUGAAACCCUCAGACCCACAAACAAUAUGAACUAAGGACCCAAAUGUAUUGGUGCUCUAGAUGUUGAAUAAAUACAGCUCAAAAAGAUAUGUUUAGCAUACAGCACAUACAUAUCUGGACAUUAUCGAGUGCUUUACAGAACCAAAAAGUGGAUACUGCAAAAUCAUGUAUGCAAACAUUGGGUGAAAGGCUGGACAUAGCAUAUGAACUGGCUCAAGGACUGAAAGUACCAUGCAAGACAGUGGCCAAACAUCAUACAUAAACACGGACACUACGAGGCAAACUUCUGAAGCUAUCAAAGAAGUCUGCAAGUGCAAGUGCCAGAUCUUUUAUUCCCAAAAUUACUUUGCAACUCCAUCCUAACCGCCUUUCUCAUUAACGCCCUCAAUUUAACAUCAUAUAUAUAACAGUGUUAUAUAUUCCAAUAUUUUGGUAGCAUGAGCUUAUCUAUCCACAUCUUUCUUUCAUUGUUAUAAAGAUGCUUCAUUGUAUCUGCUUUCCUUGUCUCCAACUUAAAAUAUCACUAUUACAUGUAUUUUUCAUCAAUAAGAGUCCUAAGUUAUUGUACUGCAAAGGAACAACAAUUUCAGUUAAGUGCGUUAUUUUGCUUACUGUAAAUUUGGGCACAUGGUUUACAUAUUAAAUAAGUAAUACUAUCUCCAUAAAUAAUUUUAUGCCAUUGACGUCAACACAAGUCGUAAGAAUAACAUAAAUAAACAAUGGACAUCCCACUAAAGAGAUCAGCUAAACUAUUCUCCUUGAAGAAAAUGCAAAUACGUAGUUACCUGUGUCAGAUGAGCCCAUCCCUCAAGGAAACUCCGAUCAAGUUGGAUAGAUUUUAAAUGUGCCUCCUCAGCCUUUUUAUAUUCACCAAUUGAAGAAAAUGCCAAACCCUAUAAAGUCAAAGUUCCCUCAUUCCAAGUAGAAGAAUACAAACAAUAUUAACAAUUUAAGAUGCUAAAUCACAAAUAUAUGAUCUAGAAUGAGUAAAGUAUCAGACAUUCAGGACUCACUAAGUAUGUGUAGGCAGAUUUGUUAUCCUUAUCAAGCUUCACACAUGCAGAUAGAUCUUCCACAGCAGCAUCAAAAUCCUUAAACUUAAAAUUAACAAUUCCUACAAUAUUAAAAAUUAUGUUGAUCAAUUGUUUGGUAAAGAGCAGCCAUCGACCACAACUCUACUGUUUCUACAACUACAUUGAUUAGAUCAAACAUUCAGCUUUGCUGGCAUGCUACAAGCAAAUAUUAAGAAAUGAAACUAAAAUCUAAAGACAUUAUGAUUCCAUUGGGCUUAUAGCUCAGUGGUGAUGUGCUUGCCUCAGUGUAGAGUUCAAGGGUUCAAACCCAAAUACAUCAAACAAUUCAGCUUUGCGGGCAUGCUACAAGCAAAUAUUAAGUAAUGAGACUAAAAUCGAAAUAAAUUAUAAUGUCAUUGUGCUUAUAGCUCAGUGGUGAUAUGCUUGCCUCAAUGUAAGAGUUCCAAGAGUUCAAACCCAAAUAGCCACUCCCUUUAAGAAAUCCCAAUAUAUGAAAAAGAAAGAAAAAAACAAUACAACAUCCACUCCCUUUAAGAAAUCCCAAUAUAUGAAAAAGAAAGAAAAAGACAAUACAGCAUCAUUUUUAACAUGAAAAGUAGCAUACUUUUUAUGAAAAGGAAAGAAACUACAGAUGAACAUAUUCAACGGUAACAAAUCUUUCAAAUACAAUCCCCACACAGAAGUAUUUCUUACUUGAUUAGAUAAUUAAACAGAAUAGUUGACAUAUAAAGUAGAAGUGAAUGACAUGUUAUCCUGUCAGAUCAUGGAAGUUGACUAAAUAUUGAAAUACAAUGAAAGAGAUACAUUAAAGAAAGUUACCUCUUUCAUGUAAUAUAUCUGGUGAGUUUGGUUCAAACUCUAAUGCCUUAGUCAAAUCUUGAAUGGCCUGCUAUGAAGAGGCGACAUGAAUUAACAUAAAAGCAAUUUGAAGUUUGUUUAAUCCUAUGAACUAAGAACUUUCAGUCAUUUCAAGAGAAGAAAGAUAUAUAUGUAACAACUGAAUAAUUUAAUUUAAAACAUAGACCCAUGUUGGGGAUAUGCUUUGAGCUUGUUUAAUGCCUUCUUCUUAAAGUAUAAAAUUAAACAAAAAUUCAGUAGUAGUAUGAGAAAAUGAAGUUGCUACAUACAGGAAGAAAAUAAAGCCCUCCAGUGGGUAACUGCAAAUUAUUUUCCCAAAAACUUAAUAAGCAGGUGAGAAUGGUUUAAAAUCCAAGAGAAAAAGAACAUAGCCAAAGCCAAUAAAAAUAUUUUCCUCGUUUGGGUAAUAAAGCCUUCAACGGUCAAUGAAUUGUUCAAACUAUUCCUACCUCUACAGAUUCCCCUAAUGCAGCUCGGGCCUGCCCUCUUCGCUUCCAUGCUUCACCAGCUAAUGGAUUUGAUUCAAUAGCCUAAAACAUUAAUCAUGUAAAGCACUUGUAAGGCAGAAACUUAAAUCUUUUCAUAUAUAUCUAGCACAUUGAAAUUCAAAUACCUUUGAAAAGUCAGCAAUAGCAGCUUCCAGUUCUCUCUGGAAUGCAAAUGCUGUCCCUCUACCAAUUAGUGCCUCGGGAUAAGUAGGAUAUUCUCUCAGUAUCUGCAUAAGAAACAGUUAACACCCUUUUCAUAAAAGUUUGAUGUAUAGCCCUGCCUUGGAACAAGAUGAGACUUUCCACACACACUCUCAAAAACAUGCACAAAAUCAUAAACGGGGGACCAGACAAUACAUUCCCAAAAGAUACAAAACAACCAGAAUGAUGAAUACAAAUUUACCUGGUUAAAAAUAGAUAUGGCAGAAGCAUAUCUCCCUUCAUUGACCUGCAAGAGGGCACUUUGUAGUUUCAAACGGAAUGCAAUACUUAAAACAUUGACAAUCUGACCAAUAAGAAUAGCACUUGUUAGCAACAUUUAAACCUUAAAACUUAAAAGUAGUGCAUACCUGUGCUAUACCCCGUGACAAUCUGAAAUCCACAGUCACGGACUUGGUCUUCGAAAUCUUAGUUACACAAAACUUUUUACUUUUAUUGGCUUCAUCACUUGCUUCAUUAGGCACGUCAGUCUCAUUACUCGAUUUGCUGCGGAUGUGACUUGUUUCACCCAAGCUGCUAGGUAGCUUAGAAAAUUUACUUGGGAAUUCUGAUGUAUUGCUUAAGCUAUUGUAGGAAUUAGAACUAUGGCUUGGUUUAUCAAGAAUAUCAUGAGUUACAUUCAUUGGGCUAUCAACCUUUUUACCCCCUUCAGCUUUCUCACUUAAGUCAUUUUGCAUGCCAAAAUUAUUCCCCGACUUGCAGUAGAACUCAGAUGUAUCUCUUGACUCACUACAUAAAUAAUGUUUAUCUCCUAAUCUAUUCUGAUUUAUAUAAUUUUCUGUUGGUUUUCCGUUUACGAAGGAUCCUGAUUCAGGUAUAGGUAUUGGUGACUUCCCUCCAGCUUCAUCUUUUAUCCCAUUCAGCACUUCAAACUUAUCUCGAAACUUGCUGCAGCUCUGAGAUGCAUCGCCAGACUCACCACUUGAACUUGAGAAAUCACUCGAUUUAUUCUGGAUCUUAGAUGAUUCAGUUACAUUCAUGGAUGACCUAGAUUCUGUCACAUUAUUUUCAUGACCAUUGUUUCUGUCUUGUUUUCCAAACUUAAGAAGCUCUUCAAGUUCCAGCAACUGUUUCAGAUCCGCAGACUGAUGCAAAGCAUGCUCAUAGCCCUGUUCCCAUACCAGAAGAGCAUCCUCUUUCCUUCCCAAAGAUGAAAACGCACGACCUAAAAUCACAAACGUAAGAUCAGGAGAGAAACCCGUGAAUCCCAAACGUGAGAACACUCGUUCUAUGCCUCACUUUGACCUAGAUAACAGCAAUUUAUAUCGCAUUAUUGUACAUUGAAGAGAAUAUGUCAAGAUAAGCUAAACUUGAUCAUCAGUUGCAGGGGAUCAGGCGGUAUAACAACGAACAAUUUUUUGCAACUAUGGAUAAUAUUAUAGAUUUCUUGUUUAUCAAUGUUUAAGGAACAUAGGAAAGUGACUAUACCCAGUAACAGACCUUGAAUCAAGCAUAUUGUUUUCCAGAUAAAAUAAAUCCACAAACAAAUGGAAAAACAAUUCCACAAUUAAAAAAAGCCAAACUUUUCAACAUUUUAACUCCUAAUGAAAAAACGAAGCCUACUUUUAGUUUCUUCAAAAGAAAAGCACAUGCAGCACAGUCUAUGCUCUUGUUUAUAUCAUUGAAGACAUCAAACAACGUUUACCACAAAAUUGCUAGCAAUUUUUCAUUUGAUGUGCUGCAACAAUUAAUACACACUUAUUUCCUGUUGGGAUAAUGAAUCAAGGGUCAUAGGAAAAUUCAUGCAAUAAUUAGAAAACUAUUGUGACCAUAGUAAGCAAUCUCUUGUAGAUCUCAAAUUCAAAUUUAGAUUUCAAAUCGAAUGCUGAAUAAGCCACCUCUGAGCAAUUCCCAAAUUACUUAAAAUCUUGGACAACUUGACAGCAAAAAGCCAUUAACGAUGUGUAGUGCCAUAUGGAGAGAAAACCAUAUAUGCAACUGUACAAGUACCAAGAAAGGACUAUAUGUUAUGAACAAGAUCAUCCAAAAACAUGCAUUGACUUAAAACAAUACAUGUUAUUUGAUAAAGGAAACAGAAAAUGAUUUCCAGCGUGCUUCAGCUAUUAUCUAAGCAACUCCUUUUUUUCAGUACUGGGUACUGAGUCUAAUUGUCUAAAAAAUUGGAAAAAAAAAAAAAAAAGCACACAACUGAACUGGAUUGGAUUGAAUUGAAUUGCCUCGAGCCCGCUCGAAUUUGAAGUCAGAAAAUUACAAUUGCAGCUAAAAUUUGACACGCAAAACAGAAACAGAGUAAAACACCUUUGAGAAUAUAAGCUUGAAGAAGAUUAGGAUCGAGCUGAAGCGCCUUGUCACAGUCCUUAAUGACAUGCUUAUGGAGCUCCAAUUGACUGUAACAAAAUGCUCUAUUGCUGCAACCAAAGAAAAGAGAAAGAAGAAGUUCACAUUAUCGAAAAUCAAUCUUUCUUGAAGAUCAAACAAGAAGACUACAACUGGAAAAUUAAUGAACUGACCAGAUAUCUUGAAUGGUGCAUGACUGAGCGAGAAGCGAGUCGAGAACUCGAAUAGCCUUUGACCAAUCUCCGGAGGCACAUGACUUAGCGAGCUCGGCACGCUCAGAGAUCGCCGAUACCAUAAUAACUCAACUGAGUUACAAACAAGUUUGUUGAGAUUUCAAUUUCAAGAUUAAAAAGGGAAAAAUAGGAAAAGGAGUCGAACGAGGUGAGUGAACGGGAGAAAUGGGGUAGAAAGGAGAAGGUGGACCAGGAAGGUGGUGGUGGAGAAAUCGAGCUUGGAGGAGAGAGUUUGCACGUGCCGUUACACGUGAACAAAAGAAAGCUUGAUUCACUUCCGCUGAGUUUUCACUUUUCACCGCCAUUAACAUUAACAAAAUAUUUUACCACGGGAAUUAAACAAGCUAUGGGCUCGAUUUUAUGACCAAUGAGUGGUUAAAUCUUAAAUUAUAAUAUUAAGAGAAGUUUACUAUUUAUUUAUAUAUGUGAUUUAUUGAAGGUAAUUUAAAAUUUUAUUAAUGAUAAAUUAAUCUUUUAUUAUGUUUAUUAUUGUAAAUUUUGAUAAAGUUUAAUUUUUUUUUUUUUUUACCAACAAGUGUCAAGAUAAAUGGUUUAAUAUUUUUUUUUCCUUGAAUAAGGUCGAGUGUUCAAACAUCAUAUUUCUUUAAAUUAAAUCAAGGAUUCGAUACUUAUAAAUAGACAAAAUAUUCAUUAAAGUGUUUUUAUCGCUUAGUGAGUAAAAUCGAGUAUUCAAAUAUCAUAUUUUUUUUUAAAUUAGAUCGAUGGUUCAAUCAUUAUGAAUGGAUUAAAUAUUCAUUAAAGUGUGAAAACCACUUAGUCGAGCGAUUCGACACAAGUAAAAUUUAGUCGUAAUAUAAUAAAUAAAAUCAUUUUAAUAAGAAAUACUUAUUAAAGUAUUUUACCACUCAGUUGGUGUACGGACACAAGUAAAAUUUAGUCAAAAUCUAGUAAAUAAAGUCAUUUUAAUAAGAAGUAUUUGCAACUCUUAACCUUGUAUUGUUUCAUAAUUACUGAGAUGACGUGUAAUACCAUAUGAUUCAACAUGAAUCUGUAUUUCUAUCAAAAAGGGAUUCUUUCCCCCAAUGCAAGUAAAGUAGAAUGAAAUAUUCCUUGUCAAAAUAUGAAGGAAAGGAAAAAAAAAAAAACCUCGGUAAAUAAAUAGCAAAUAUGAAUUUUUAAUAUGAUUUGGACAUUUGGUUGUCCAAGUGAUAUCGUUAGAAAAUGUAUUUGACUAUGAUAGAUUGUCCACUGCGGAUUGGGCCACAGGGUGGCUAGGAUGGACACUGAACGGAAGCAGACCUGGACUCGGGCUAAAAGUUUCGAGUCUAAGCCCAGUGGUGCACAAAAAUAUCUUAGCUUGAGCGCAAUUUUUUUGCUAGUGUAUUUUAUUUUAUAUGCUCGCAGAAUUGAUGAGCAUUUUUAUAGUCAAAAUAACUUGAAUCCGAAAUUUUCUUUCUAUAUUUUUAUAGAAGGUGAAAGACCAAACAAAUCACGUGUGAUUGACUUAUAAUAUAUUUUAAUUAUUUUCAUAUAUAUAUAUAUAUAAAGAUGAUAUUGUAUGUUAUAUCUUAUGUUACAAAAUACAGAUCACAUGAUUAAACUUUUUAAUACCAUAUGCAUAUAAAUUUUUAAGUUUCGUGUUGCUUUCUUACACAUUUCAUUAGAAAAGUAAUCUACUUUUGUAACAUUAAUCUUGCAGAAAAUAGAGGAAGGGAAAAAUGUGAGCAAAAGGAGCCCAAUUCCAACAACCUGCAAUAUCCACAAAGGAACUUACCCUUUUAUUCAUCUCUCCUUCUGGAAUAGGAAUGAGGGCGAGAUUAUUUAUUAGAUAACCAUCUCUUAUUGCAGGUUACAUGCAAUACAAUCAUAUUUAUAUUAUGAUUUUAAUGUAUAAAAAUAUUUUUUAUAUAUACGUGUUAUUAUUAAAAUUUGGGUUAUUUCAAUUUGGUUUUUAAUUAUUUAAAGGUUCGAUGUAGUUUUUAUAAAAUUGAAUUUGAUUCUAAAAAAAAUUGGUUAUUGUGAUUUUAGAAAAAUAAUUAUAUCCAACCAACCACGUGUUCCCUCCAAAAACAAAUAAACCAUAUUUCUCUUUGUUUUCCAUUUUGGUUUAACACUUGCAGCUGGCGGGAGUUCAAAAGCUAAAUCUUGGUAAUCUCCCAUAAAGAAUUUCUAAUACCUGCCGAAAGAAUGGUAAAAAAAAAAAAAAACUCUUAUGACCUUAAAAAUCUUGAUUUAUGACAAAUAUAUGGGUCACACACCAAGGAUAAUUUUCCAACUUUUUUAUAUAAAAUCCUAAUUAACGAUUUACACAGUUUUAUUAACGAGAAAUUACCAGGCUAAACAAGAAACAAUGAUUGCACAAAUGUCAAAAAAAAGAAACAAUGAUUGCACAUUAUAAAUAUUAAAAUACCAAAUGUGCAUUUUAAAGAUUAGGCAGCAAUAUCAUAACGAAUAUGCCUAAGAAGCACCGGAAUUACAAUAUCCGGUGAGCUCAAUUGGGGUAAAUGACCGUCGGACGACAUAACUUCAACUAUAGAUUCAGAGCCAAGAUUUUGAUGCAAAUACUCCGACACAACCACCGGCACAGCCAAGUCCUUGCCACUUUGGACAAUGUGACAAGGCACCGUGAUCAAGUGCAGAAUCUGCCUCAUGUCACUCUGGAAUAUGGUUCGUGCUACACUUAGAGCUAUAUCUGGUCUCAUAUUGAAGAGAGUGCGGCUAAAUUCUUGGACGGCAACUGAGUCCAUGUCACCGCCAACGGCCAGCGGAGCAAACCCUGAACACCACGCCUUGUAAUUGGAUUCCAUUGCUUCAAAUAGUUGGUUUAGAUCUUCUUGCUCAAAUCCUCCAUAGUAAUCCACAUCAUUCAAAUACCUGAUAAUUAUAAAUGUAGAUUAGUAAAACUAGACUUGAACUGUAUUAACAAAACUUUUAAAGUAGCUUUUAGAGUUUUGGCAAAUUAAAUUUUCUAAUAUUACUUAAUAAUAUAAUGUUGAAACUAAUUUUUAAAAUUUUAACUAAACAACUAAUAACUACCAAAAUAAUUAAUUUCAUUUAACAAACCCUUCCAAAGUCAUGAUUCAAAACAUUUAGAUAUCAUAUUAGGAUAGGUCUACCUAAAGCUAACGGUCAUGAUAUUAGAUUCGUUCGGUAAAAUUAACUUUUUUUUUUAGUAAUUAUUAGUUGCCUUAGUAGUAUUAAUUGUUCAUCAAACGAUAAAAAGGAGUGAUGUUUCAUUAUAUCUAUUCAAAAUUUAAAUAUUAAAUAUUAAUAUAAAAAUUAUGUCGCUGAACACUACAACUAAUGAAAAUAAUCAAAAUAUUAAAAACUACAUGAAAAAAUAUUUUGGAACAGCUUGUGAAUGCUGAAAUUUUCAAUUCAAUCAACAUAGUUUCAUUGAUUUUAAAAUGAUUUUCAUGGCAAAUGGCUAGUUUGGUAACCCACACACAAACACAAAGAUCCAAAAAGACACAUUAUUAAACAAUGUUUCAACUAGCCUUACCUUGUAUAAAAAAAAUAAUUUAUCUAUAUUCAAAUAUGAAAAGACAGGAAUGAAUAAUAAAAUAUAUUAGAACACAAAUCAAAGAUACCGCAAUAAUCAUAAACAACAAAGUAACUAAACAGUUAGCGAUGCGACUUCCAUUAAACAACAAAGAUAAACCGCUAUUUUUUACUAAUUUUUAACCACUUGAAAACAUUUUAUAAUGAUUUCUAUUUCUGCGCAAACUUUUAUGGUUGUCUUAAUCAGCUAAUCUGCUAAUCAACGUGGCCUGUAAAAGAUUAAUAAAAUAGUCAAAAAGAAGAGAGUUUAAUUAAUUAAUUUAAUUACCUUGGAGAACCAGAGAUCAUUACGAGUUUGGAGAAGAGAUCAGGGCGGCUAAUGGAAGCAAUAGCGCCAAUCAUUGCAGAAACAGAAUGACCGACAAAAAUACACGAUUCAACUUGUAAUUCCUCUAAAAUCGCUAGCAAAUCAUAAGCAUAGCCUUCGAGAGUUGAAUACCGAUCAAAAUCAAAGUAAUCUGGAUUUGUAGUACCAGCACCCAUAUUAUCAUACAAAAUGACUUUGAAAUCGUCGAGAAGAUGAGGAACAAGGUGUUUCCAAACAGAUUGAUCGGUGCCAAAUCCAUGAGCGAGAACUAAAACCUGCUCUCCUGCGCCUAUGAUUUUGACAUUAUGAGCUUCUUCUACUAUGCCCAUAUCUUUUUCUCCUGUUUUUGGCCUUUUUUUGUUGGGGAGGUUGGGGUUUGGGAGUUGAGCUUUGGGUUUAAAGGUGUGAAAUGGUGGACUUUUAUUUUUUUUUUGGAUUUUUUUUGUUUUUGUUUUUGGUGCUGUGGACAAGGGAAAAGGUGUAGACGGGGAAUAAUAACGACCGCAUGGGUGUGUGUGUGUUUCUUUUUUCUUUUUCCAAAUUUAAUGAUAAGAUAUUGGGCUUUGUUUAUGUAUGUGCUGGUACAGGCAAUAGGAUUUUUGUUCUUACAUCAACGGUGUAGAACCAUGUGAUCAACUUUUUGACGAAUUAGUGCAAGUGAGUGCAUUCAUAUGGAAUCAUCUAACAACUAAUAGAUAGAGGAGCAUUGGCAAGCCGACUUCGCAAAAUUUUUUUUAAGUAUUGAAUACGAGAAUAUUCAUAUUAAUAUAUAUAUAUUUUUACUGUUAGAGAAGGUAUUAGAACCUAAAUUUUAAUAGGUGUUGUUGCUAUGGUGAAAAAUAAAAGAAUUCGAAUUUGAAUUUUUUUCGCCCAUUAGAGUUUUUAUAAAAAAUUUUAUAGUUUUGAAUAUUUUAAUUUUACAAAUUAGAAUUUUUAACAUUUUAACUAAUUUUAAAUAUUAUUAUCAAGUGACAGGAAAUAAAUUGUUUGAUAAAUAAUUUUUAAAAAAUAUUUUUCUUAAAGAAUAUAUUUCAAAUAUAAACUAUUUUUCUGAAGUAUUUUACUUCGCCCGCCUUGUAAUUUUUAUCUUGGUUUUACUUGUAGAUAGAUUAAAAGCAUUUAGUUAAUAUAGUUAAAUAAAAAUUUUUGCUUUAUUUUUUUCUUGAUAUAUCGUUAUAUUAGUAUCCCAUUAAAAAAUUAAAUGAUGCAUAUUAAAUUGUUACUAAAAUCAAUUAGAUUGCAAUUAUCAAUUCAAUAAUAAACAUAAUCAACCAAUGUACAAGUGGAAUACUAAGGGUCUGAUAUAUUAAUUUUGUUUCUAUCAAUAUUUAAUUAAUUGUAAUUUAGUAGUUUGGGUAAUAUAUAUAUUAUCAAAAAUAAACAUAUUAAAUAAAGGUAAGUAGUUUAAGAAAAAUACAUAUAGUUUGACUUUUACCUAGAUUAAAAAAAAUAUAUAUAGUUAAACUAUUUUUUUUAGCUUUUUCCUAAAAUAUCCUUCUAUAAUAUUAAAUGAUAUUUAUAUAAUUAAGAAUAUAAAUGUAUAUUAAGAAAUUAAAUAAUAAAUCAUUUUUUUGAAAAUAUAAAUAAGAUAUUUUGGGAAAAGAAAAAAUGGGAAACAAUACGACAAUUUGAGGCGAAUGGGAGAAAGAAAAAACAGGCAGGACAAAGAAUUACGAAGGGAGGGAGUAAACCUAAGGAACAAAAUAUCCCAACUUGGAUUUAUAAUAAGUAUUCUAUGCAUCUAUGAUUGGAAGUAUAAUAUGCAUCUGUAAUUGGAAGAUCUCAAUACAAGUCAAUUAAAAUAUCAAUGAUUGAGGGAGUGACUGGCGAAGCAACGAGCAACAGAUGGUAAGGCUAUUUGGUAAAAUUAAAUAUUUUGAUAGGAUUAGAAAUAUUUAGCUGUUAGAGUAGACUGUUGUAUUUUAAUAAAUAGAAAUUAUGGAUAGUUGGUGAUGUAACUGAAUAUGUAUUUAUAAAUAUUAAAUUUUAAAAAUUAUUCUCCAAUGCACGAAGAAGAAAUCAAUUCAACGCAAGAAAAAAUUUUGAGCACAAAAAAAUAAGAAGGCAUAAAGAAAAAUAAAAAAAUGAAUAAAUAGGAAAAUAGAAUAAACAACUGAGUCAGACAAUUAUCUAACAGAUUACAUGAAAACAGAGAGCAUGGUAGAUAAUGUCUUUUUUUUUUCUUUUUAAUACAUCAGACUCACAGACUAUACAGAUAAUAACGUUAGAAAAUGUUUUCCUUUUUUUAACGUUCAAUUUUUUAGACGUAGCAAAUAAAUAAACGCAAUCAACAGUUGCAUUAGAGAUACUCUUAACUGUUUGAAUAAUUUUUAUAAAAUAUUAAAAAUUAAACAUUAUAUAAAUUAAUUUUUUAUAAAAUAUUAAUUUAAUCUCUAAAAAUUAAUUUAAAUAUUAUGUACUCCGAUACCCAAAAAAUAAUUUUAAGGUUUUAGAUUCAAAAAACUGUUUUCGACUACCAUUUUAGAUGAUUGACAGGAAGGGAAGCCAUCAAUGGACCCACCAUCCAUCAAUGCGGACUUAUCCAAACAGCCAGCUGCAUGAACCAACUCAUUUAGCAUUUUCACGUGCCAGUUUCUCUUCUUUAAGCAUAGGCACUUAGUGAACUAAAAUAUCAAACCUCUGUCUUUCAUCACCUCUAAUAUUUGGAUUUUCUGCUCCAAAUGUCCCUUUUCAUGCCAACUUGUACAGGUAUCUAUCCGGUCCCCCAAACAAGUGGUAUCUGAAUUUUUUUUUUCUUAUCUAUUAUAUUUAUGAUAAAAUGAGGAUAUUUUUUAUUUAUUUUAAUAUAUAUGUCUCUACGCUCGAAUCAAUAAUAAUAUUUAGAUAAAGUCUUUCUAUCAGUUAUAAUUCUAAGUUUUGAAUAUAAUCUAUUUCUGCUUAUCUAAUUUAACCACCUAUUAAUACAAAUAAAGAUAUUUUUUUAUCAAAUGUAAUUAUAUUCCAACCAUCCCUAUUAAUUUUGGAUUUUGGUGUUAGCCUCCAUCUAAGUAAUUCAUCAAGGGAUAUAAGCAUGGUGUGACAUUUUCAAUAUAUUAUUUAUAGUAUCUGGUAUGAAAUUUAAUAGAAUUAAUGAUUAAGGGUAUAAUAAAUUAUUAAUCACAGAUUUAAUUAGCACAAAUUAUUUUUAAUUGAUUAGGUUAUAGUUAAUUGCUUGGUGAUUUAAAUUAAUUAAACCUACACUUGUUCAUGUUGGGUUCGGGCUAGGUUGGGUCGGGCUAAAAUUUUAAGGUUCUUCUGUCCAGGCCUGGCCCAUACCCGGUUAAGCCUACAGGUAUCCAUCACAAACUUCAACGCUUACGUGUAACAACUAUUAAUUUCAAAACCCUCUAACAAAAUCAAGAAUUGAUUAUUUAUCUAUUACAUUAAUUCCUAUUUAUAUUAUUUUGAACUCGAUCAACUUCAUACAAAUAUUUGCUAAUAAAAUUAUUUUUUUCAAGUUAGUUUUUUUUUAUGAUAAUUUUAUUUAUAGUUAUUUAAAAAUAAUUUUAAAAUUUUAAUUAAUAUUUUUAUUUAUAUAAUACAUUAAAGUAAAAAAAAUAUAUAUUCACAUUAAAUUAAAAAAUAUAUCAUAGACUUUAAUAAGACAAUUAAGGGGUACAUUUAAAAAAAGUGAAGUGCAUGUUUUUAUAUGAGAACAAGCUAUUUCACGGUUGAAUUAAAAUUUGAACGGAGAUAAUUAGUUGAAUGUUAGAUAAAUUAAACUUUAGAUAACAAGCUCUUUUUUUUAUAUAUAUUUAAAAGAUAUUUUAAAUUUUUUAUAAAAAUAUAUAUUUUUCCAUAGAAAUAAAAUAAUGCAACAAUUACAUAACAUUUUGUUAGCCAAUGAAAUUUUUCCAAAUAAAAACCCCUUCUUUUACAAAAUAAUCAUUACCAUUUAUAAAAUAUGGAAAAAUUUACAUGUUAUUUUGUAUUGCUGCUAUUGAAAAAAAAAUUCACAUUUUACAUACACACAUAUAUAAUUUCUACAAAAUAAUGACAAAAGUUUUCUAACCUCUUAACUUUUACAAAUAAUAAAAAAAAUUUUACCUUUUACAAAGAAAACAAACAUAGAAAAAAAAUUUUCCUUUUACCUUUUACCUUUUACUUUCUUAACUAUCGAACGACAAUGUUAUUUCUACGAUUAAGAAUUUUUUUACAAUAUUCUCUACAAUUAAAUCAAACAUAAAAUUAUCGAUAAAAGAGGAAUGUAACUCAUAAACUAGAUGUUGACAAUCUGUGAAUAUAAUUUCCGACCCUUGCAUAUCCAGUUUAUGCACAUUAAUAAUUAAACUUAUAUAAAAACUCAUUUUUCAUAUAUAUUCAAUAUGUAUAUGUAUUAAUUUGAAACUACCUAAACACAAUUUAAAUGUUCGCUAAAAAAACAAUUUAAUAAAUACAAAUAUCAUUAUUUGUAAUUGAAAAUAUUAUUUAUCCCUUUUUUUUAAAUAAUAGAGAAGACAAACUAAAUACACUAUUUCGAAUAUAAGCAAUACUUUUUUUUUUUUUUUUUUUUUUUGGAAAUUUAAAAGCAAUAAUUGUAAUGUCAUGAUUAAGCCAUAGCCAAAAUACAACGAGGAGACUUCUCUAGAUAUGAAAACUCAGAAGAAAAGGAUUCCUUGUUUUUUUAAAAUAAAAUAACGUUAUGUCCAACUAUCAAGUUUGUAUUAACACAAGGUUUCCCAUAAAUAACAUAUAUUAAUUAUUCAUGAUAUAUUGCUUGUAUAUUCAUAGACUUUCUAUUUCUUUAUUUGACUUAUUUGCGACUAGAGAGUACCUUGACCCUUGAAAAAAAAAAAAAGUUGGAUACAUUUUUUUUUUCUACACUACACUAAUAAGUUGUAUGGGUUCAUCAAACUUUUAGGCUUUUAUAUUGUGUAUUUCAAAACUAAAAUUUUAUUAAUAUUCAAAAAUAUUUAAAUGGAAUAAAAACAUGAGCUUUUUUUUUUUUUUUUUUAAAUUUUUCAUUCACUAUUCAACAGCAAAAAACGAAGAAAAAACAUAAAAAAAUGGCAGAAAUAUAGCCUUAAAACAUUUAAAUUUUUUUUUUAUAUUAAAUAUCCAUGUUUUGUGGACACUUAAAUGUGCUCCGAAUAUGGAUGGUACAUACACUCAACCAAUCAAAAAGUAAUUUUUUUUAAAUGUUAAUUUUUUUUCCACAAAAAUUCUCUCAUUUGGACAAAAAAUUGUUUUUGAUUGGUUUGAUAUAUAGGUAGACUCACACAUGGAGUAGGAUAGAAAUGAAUUGGAUAAGAGACAAAAAUCUCAUAAAAAUUGUAAGGUGGGCUUAUUUGAACUUCAGCCAACUAAUGCUAAAAUUUUAGUACUAACUAAUUAGUUAGCUUGUUUCUCUUAUAUGUCCUUUGUGGGAUAUUUAGUCACUAUGAUACAACCGGGAAUCAUGAACUUGCUUUAAUACCAUAUUAGAAGUUAAAAGUGACUUGCUUUAAUACCAUAUUAGAAGUUAAAAGUUGAAAAAACAGAGAUAAGCUUAGUAGGAUUUAGGAGUUUAGAAUCCAUAAAAUUUUGUGAAGUAGGUUUACUUAGAUUUAAACUAACUAAAGUUAAAAGAUUAAUAUUAACCAAUUAGUUAGCUAGCUUGUCACUUUCAUCCGGGAUAUAAAGAAUUGAUAUUUAGUCAAAACAAAUUCUUAAUGGUAGGUAAAUGUUUCUCGCGUCUCAUUAUCUUAUGAGGAACUCUCUAGAUGCCAAAAAAAGACAGGCGUUGCAUAUUUUCUUCAAAGCGAAGCGAGUUUGAACGUGGCAAAUACCAUACCAAGAAAACCAGCCAUCAGGCUGCGGUUGCAACUUGCAACGCUCUCCGUCCCAAAAGAUAGAAUUACAAAGAGAACAAAUAGAAACAGGAUAGUGCUUGGCUUUUCAGUUUUGAGAGGGGACUUACAUCGACAACAAUAUAAUAUAGAGCAUUAACAAGAAGAAUAAGAAAAGCCAUCUUGACCAAACUUCAAGAAAUUGCACUGGCCUUUGGAAUUGUAAGAGGAAAUCUCUAAUUAAAUGCCAAAAUGCCAUUAUUGAGACCACUAACAGGAAAGUAUGUAGUAAUUUUGAAAUUGCAUGCAUGGGGAAUGGCCUUGUGAAGGAAAUUCAAAAUUUCUUGAUGCUAAUAAAAAAUCACGUACGAUGGAUUGUGGACCUCAGAUGUUGGACACAAAUUAAGUCUGCUGCAAAACAAUGCUUCCCGACAUAUAUUCUGAAAAAAUUCUAGUCUCUUGACCUACUUUGAGGAGUAGCGUUUCUUCAAAGACUCCAUGCCCAGACAGUAGAUACACUUUUGAGUUUCACAAACAGAGUUGGAAAUUAUUAAGGGUGAAAUUUGUAUAUACUGUUUCAUGGUUUUUUUUACCACAUGGCAAAUCAGUGAAGGAAUAAACUCAAGUUUCAUUGGGCAAUUUAUCGGAACCAAAAUAGUGUUGAAAGAAAAUAUUUACGAUUAUGGUAUUAUCUUGACUUUUUAAAUUCAUUUGUUACACAAUGUAUUAUUAUACUAUGACUACAAUUUAUUUAAAUUUUUUAAUAUUGGAACCAGUUUUUUCUCAACACACUCUCUCUUACGUUUAUAAUAUAACAAUACUAUUACACAUUUUAAAGACAUCGACACAGACUUUAAGAGUAAAGAUACAUGUUUGAUAAAAAUUGACAUUGUUACACUCACAGUGUAACAAUUUAUGCAUGUUUUCUAUUUUUCAAUGUCUAUUUUUAUACAUUGUUAAACAAUAUUAAGGAAAUAUUAUUUCCUUAUGAUAGAUUGUUACACUUUGAGUGCAAUAAUAGCAUGAAAAAUAGUUUGGUAUGUGAAUCUCAAUAAAUUUGAAUGUAUUAAUCUCAAUAAAACUAUUUAUAGAUUUCUUAUACUCACAAUGUAACAAUCUCAAAAAAAUAGUUUGAAGAAUCUUCUUUGUCCUUAAAGUAUGUGUACUUACAUUGUUAUAUUAUAAGUGUAGUGGUUGCAAAACUUCUUGCAUCCCGAUUGAAAAAUGCUAUGGCGUCAAUUAUUGGAGAAACAUAAUCAACUUUUGUAAUGAAAUAGUUCAUGAAUUGAAGCAGAAAAGGGCUAAAUUAGGUUUAUUAUUCAAAUCAGAUUUCAAAAAAGCAAAUGAUUCAGUCAACCAGAAUUUCCUUCUGGACAUGACGCAUAAGAUGCGUUUUGAGCAGAGAUGGAGGAAAUGGAUAGUUUGAGUGCCUCUUAGUUCCAGGCUUUCUGUCCUAAUCAAUAGUUAAAAAUAGAGGAUUUUAAAUGACAUAGACUUGAAACAACGAGACCCAAUUUCUCAUUCUCCUUUUCUAAUCGUUGUUGAAGGCCUUAAUCUUUUGAUUUGAAAUUUUGUCUUACAAGGUUCUAUUUCUUUUCAUGUCUUACAAACUUGUAAUGAUUUGUGUUGUUUCCAAAUAUGACCCCAAUUGAUAGAUUUAGAAAAUCUUAUAGGAGAAUUUAGGAACGAAAUGAGUAGUGAAAUGAGUUAUUAGAUUUGAAAAAAUUAGUUCAUGUUCCAUUACCGACACAUCAAUUAUAGAUUCAGAAAAUUGAUUCGUAACACCCUUGCAUGUAUAAAUCUGCAUGACAUAGAUGAAGAAAUGAUGAUAAAUAAUUAUAAUUGGAUGAGAGAGUAAUUAUAAUUAAAUGAAAUAUAUUAAUCUUUUGUACCUAAGUAUGGAGUUUGAUCCCUUUAUAUAGAAUGAGAAAGACUAUUCAUUAGAGCUACAGUUAUAAUCCUUGUUAAAUACAUACAGAUUUGGAAUACUGAAUGAAUGCGUAUUUUUGGAGUGAUUGACAGUUCAUUAAGUGUCCUAUAAAGAAAUUUAAAAGAUUCUACAUAUAAAAGUAUUGGCUUGUUUAACAUGUCAGCGGAAGUAUAUUAGGAAUAAGAUUCUCUUAAUCUAAUGCAAAUAUAUUUUUUGUCCAUAAAAUAUAAUUAGAUCCUGAUUAACUUACUAUUAAAAUUCCAUCACUUACCAAGAUUAGAAAAAGAGGAAGAAAAAGGUCUCAAGCUUAUAUUCCAAAUGAUGCUGCUACAAGCAAAUUAGAAAAGAAAGGGAAAAAGAAAAGAGAAAAAGAAGAAGACACUCAUUUGGUUAUAACACAGUCAUAGAGUGAAAUCAAGGCGAAGGUGCUUGAGAAUAACUGGGAUUACAAUAUCAGGCGCGCUCAAGUGUGGCAAGUGACCGCUGGUAGGCAUGACCUCGACGAUUGAUGGGUCGCCGAGAUGUUGAUUCAGAUAUUCAGACACCGCCGCUGGCACAGCCAUAUCCAUUUCACUCUGCAAUAUAUGGCAAGGGAGAGUGACCAUAGGUAGAAUAUGUCUCAAUUCUGUUAGAAAUUUAAGAUGGACUAAACUAAAAGCUAUAUCAGGUCUCAUGUUGAAUAGAGUUUGAGAGAAUUCUUGCACAGCUACCGAGUCCAUGUCGCCACCUAGUACCAUUGGUGCAAACCCUGAACACCAUGCUUUGUAGUUGGAACGCAGUCCUUCAAAUCCUCCAUUAUAAUUCUUGUCAUUCAAUAACCUAGUUUGAAACACCAAAUAAAAAGUUUCUAUUACACAUAUUAUAUAUGAUUUUGAUCAGUAUAACAGCAACUAGCAAAGUUUACCUUGGAGUAGCAGAGAGCAUAAUGAUUUUAGAGAAGAGAUCUGGGCGAGCAAUGGAGGCAUAAGCACCUGCCAGACUCAAAACAGAAUGACCAACAAAAAUACAAGACUUAACCUGUCAUUCAUCUAAUAUGGCCAGCAAAUCAAAGGCAAACCUUCAAUACUGGAGUAUCUUUCAAAGUCAAAAUAAUCAGGAUUAGUAGUACCAGUACCCAUAUUAUCAUAUAAAAUAACACGAUAGUAGUCUUCAAGAAGGUAAGGAACCAAGUAUUUCCAGACAGAUUGAUCACUGCCAAAGCCAUGAGAAAGGAUAACAAGUUGCUCCCCUUUCCGCACAACCUUUACAUUAUGUGCUUCUACAAUUCCCAUUUUUUGGUUUAACACUCUAAUUGUUAGUGAAAAGUUAGUAUUUAUAUUGGUUUCAGGUGCAUGGGUGCAUAGAUAAACAUGAAGCAACUAGGGCUACGUAUUACAUUCCAGAAUCACACGUGGAGCGAAGAGGUAUGUUGGGAAGAUCUAAUCAACUAGGGCUACCACUAGCAGUGUUCUUGUUGCAUUGUGUUUGAGUUGUGUUAUAUGUAUAUGCGGUAUUUAAUAUAGUAUUUGCAUUGGCUGUGUCCAAAGUGAAGAGACAAGUUGGUAUUUCAAGCGGCUAAGAUGGCAUUUUCCGCAUGUAAUAAAAAUACGUGUGAAGCUAGUAAUUACUUCUCUUUUGUUUCGUCGUUGGCAUACUGGUCAAGAGUGGUCGGGUCAAUGUCCUUUGUGCUCUGCAGCUUUGCUAGGUGUCGCUGCAUACAUUUUUUAUUUGCAAGCUAGCUUUACUUGCAAUUGAAGGAUAUUUCAAACCUGAAGUCUCUAUUAUUGAAAAGUGUUUACCAUAAUUUUACAUUCAGUCUGACGUAGAAAUAUGUAUGUAAAAAAGAAAGUAUCUAUUUUAUAUUUUACUAAAUUUAUAUAUGAAACUGGCCUUUCUGACCAUUAUAUGUCUCACUCCAUUUAGUACAACCUAUACAUAUAUUUAAUAAAACAUCAUCUACUCAAUUACAAAGAUAUAAUUAAUAAAAUGUUUAGCGGUCUAAUUGUUUAUUCGGUAAAAUUAACUAUUUUGAUAGUUGUUGUUUUAGUAGCUAGUAACUGUUUAAAUAGCUUUUUAUAAAAGACUAAAAAGCUAAAUGUUAGAUGAGUUAAUUUUUUAUAAAACGCUACCUUUAACUUCUAAAAGUCAAUUCAAAUGCAAUGUUAAAACUACGUAAAAUAGCAAAACUACUUAAAGAGCUUUUUGCCGAGCAUUCCCUAAACAUCAAUUACAUUUUUGCUAUCCAAUUAUAUUUUAAUUUUAUACUUCUAACGAACAAAAUACACUUAUUGUGUAUGUUAUUGAGUUAUAUCAAGGCGAAGGUGCUUGACAAUUACUGCAACUACAACCUCCGGCGAACUCAAUUGCGGCAAGUGACCGUUGGUAGGCAUGAGCUCAACGAUUGAUGGGCCGCCGAGAGUUUGAUGUAGAUAUUCAGACACCUCCACCGGUACAACCUUGUCCAUUUUACCUUGCAGAAUAUGACAAGGGACCUUAACCAUAGUUAAAAGAUGUCUAAUGUCUGAAGAAAAUUUAACAUGAGCUAAACUUAGGCUUAUGUCAGGUCUCAUAUUGAAUAGAGUUCGACAGAAUUCUUGUACAUGUACAGAGUCCAUGUCGCCACCGACCACCAUUGGCGCGAAUCCUGAACACCAUGCUUUAUAAUUAGAACUCAUUGCUUCGAACAUUUGGUUCAUCUCUUCUUGCUCAAAUCCUCCGUUAUAAUUCUUGUCAUUCAAUAAUCUAGUUUAAAACAAACAAAAAGUUAUUAUUUCUGCAAAGAUACAUAAAAAAGAUGGAAAAUGUUUCUUGUAGAUGUUUAUAUUAACAAUGUUGUAAAUGGAAAUAUGAAAAUGGAAAAUUUUCGUACGUUUUUUUGGGUACACUAUCAGUAUUGAUUUCAUUUCAUUUUACACUACUUAUAUUUUAAAAGUGAAAAAAAUCCUAAUUGUAUUGAUUUUUUAUAUUGAUAAUAUAGUUAAAUCAUUAUAUAUGUAAUAAAAAAAAUAAACAAAUAAUUUCUAAUUAUUUUUUUAUCAGCAAAACUUAUAUUUUUUUUAAUUAAUAAUUUUAGGAAAACAAACUUAACAAAUCUUAGCAGCUAAAACCAAACCAACAGAGCUCCCAAUACACCCAACCUAGCCAAAUAGAGCUUCCAAUACACCCAACUUAGCUAAAAAAUGUUUAAGUUAAAAAUUCUAGCUAGACUGAAAUACAUGAAAUUGAAAGGAAUUAAACUGAUAGAAAGAAAAAUUCUUGAAUUAAAAAACUUAAGCUUUCCUAUCAAAUUAGAAAACCAGCUAACAUGAUUGUUCCAAGAAACAGAUAAGCAAAGAGAACCAACUGUCCUUAAACUAUUUUAACUGCUCAUGUAUCAAAUAUAAUAUUUCUAAAUCUAUAAAUGUAAAAUCCACUAAAUAUGAAUAUAAUUUGAUAUUUAAAGGACAUUUAAAUUUAAAUUUUUAUUAUUAAUUUUUUAAAAAAGAAUGAAAGAACUUUUUAUUUGCAGCUCCAUCCUUAUUAGCGAUUGAGGUGUUAUUGCUACAAAAUAUUGAAAUUGGAAAAACUGACAAAAAAAAGUCAAAGACCGUGUUCAACAACUGUUUUUUUAGUAGUUUUUUGCGUUUUGACUAAAUGCUAUAUUUUAUAAUAUUCGGUGACAUAUCGUUUAAAUUAAUUUUAAAAGUUAAGGUAGCUUUUUAUAAAAGAUUAAAGGUCUUUUCGACAAAAUUAGUUAUUUUAGUAGCUGUUAGCUGUUUAAAUAGCUUUUUAUAAAACACCAAAAAACUAAAUGGAAAUGUUACAUAGGUUAACUUUUUUAUAAAACGGUAUCUUAACCUUUAUAAACUAAUUCAAACGCUAUAUUAUCCAACACUAUAAAGAAUAGUGUUCAAUGGUUUGACCAGUCAAAACACUAAAAACUACUUGAAAAGCUAUUACUCAACAUAGCAUAACCCUUGCAAAAUUGGAAGUAUUUUAAUACACUAUGCUUAUAUAUAUAUAUAUAUAUAUAUAUAUAUAUAUAUAUAUAUAUAUAUAUAUAUAUAUAUAUAUAUAUAUAUAUAUAUAUAUAUAUAUAUAUAUAUAUAUCAAACCUUUAACUUGAACAUUUGUUAAACUGAAACAUAGGUCAUGGGUAAAAAGAAAAUAAAAAUUCUAUAAUAAAACUAUAUAAAAGUAGAUAUUUUACCUAGGAGUAGGCGAGAGCAUGAUGAGUUUAGAGAAGAGAUCUGGGUGAGAAAUGGACGCAAUGACGCCUACCAUGCUAAAAAAUGAGUGAGAAACAAAAAUACAAGAUCUAAUCUUUAGUUCAUCCAAUAUGGCAAGCAAAUCAUAAACAAAACCUUCGAUACUGGAAUAUCUUUCGAAGUCAAAAUAAUCAGGAUUAGUAGUACCAGAACCCAUAUUAUCAUAUAAAAUUACUCGAUAAUCUUCAACAAGGUGAGGCACUAAAUAUUUCCAGAUAGAUUGAUCAGUUCCACAACAGUGACUUAGGACAACAACUUGCUCUCCUUUCCCCACAAUCCUUACAUUAUGUGCUUCUAUAAUUCCCAUUUUUGGUUCAAUACUCUAGUUGUAAGAAUUUAAUAUUUAUAUUGGUUUCAGGUGGAUGGAUAAACAUGAAGCAAACUGCAGCUACGUAUUACAUUUCAGAAUCACACGUGGAGCCGAGAGGUACGUUGGGAAGAAACGCAAGUCAUCAGUUUCGGAUCUAAUCUAUAUGUAUAUGCAAUGCAAACCAGGUUGAUAAGCAAUGUUGUUGUUGCAUGGAUUAUACUCCCUUCUCAUUUAAAUAUGAAUCGUUUUAAAAUGGUUUUUUUUUUUUUAAUUAAAAUGAUUGUUUUGUUUAAAAAUAUACGUCACUUUGAGCAUUUUAAAUAGUGACUCGUGAUCUUUUUCCUAUUUUAUCAUUAUUAUUAUAUAAUUAUUUUCAUAAAUUAAUUUUUAUUUGAGAUAAAGAGUAAUUUGGUCAAAUUAUCUUUAAUUUUGUUAUAAUUUAAAAAAAAUUAGUUUUUUCUUUAUCUCCCGUGCAAAAACCUCAAACGAUUUAUAUUUUAUGAGCUAGUGAAUAUUUAUCUAAAUUAGCUCAAAUCAAUAUUAAAAUUUUUUUAGAAAUACAUAAUAAAAAUUUACUUUUAUAUUAAUUUGAUCUAUGAUAGGUCCACUCUAAAUAAAUCAAUCCAUUGCCUCAUUGUUUUUGAUAUAUAUAUAUAGGUAUUUAAUAGAGUAUUUGCAUUUGCUUUGUCCGUAGUGCAGAGACGAGUUGGUACGGCUAAGAUGGCAGUUUCUGCAUGUAAUAAAAAUACGUGUCCGGUAAUUACAAAAUGUGGCUCAGUUGUCAAUGCAAGUUGGGUAUGUGAGAAAAACUCUCUCAAAUUCUAUUUUUACUGAACGUAUCUGCAAAGAAAAAUAAAAAAUUAACUGUGAUUAAAUCUCGAGCCGAAUUUAAUAAGUCUCUAAUCCGGAUGCUAGUUAUUAAAAAAAAAAAAAACGUGUGCGGUGCUAAUUAUUUCACUUUUGUUUCGUCGUAGGUAUACUGGUCAAGCGUGGUCGCGGUCAGGGUGCUCUGCAGCUCUGCAGGUGUCCUUUGGACGCACGCUUUUUUUUUUUUUUUUUUUUUUUUUUUUUUUUUUUUUUGCGUCGUUAACAUUCCCAAACCCACUGGUUGAGAAGCAAAGCACACUUUAAUAUUGUUUUAGUGUAUGUAGUUUAGAGUGCAUGCUUUAGAAGUUAGCUAUAAUUUUGAUAAUCACGAAUAAUUAUAUUUAUUUUUAUCAGAAAUUAUGAAUUUAAAAUUAUGAAUUUAAAAAGUGUAUAAUAAAAUUUAUAUCAAUAGUUUGCAUAAUUUAUAAAUAUAAAUAAAAAAAAAUUAAUAUCCUUCGAUUCUAUAUAAAUAAACUUCCCAUUUUGAAUAUUCCAUUUAAAUUAAUAAAAUUAUUCAAUUUAGACUAUAGCUAAAGUGUAAAGUUUAAAUUGUUUUGUUAAUAGCAUUAAAUUUUUAGAAAAAUAAGAAAGUGAAUGGAGACGAACUUACUUAGCUUAUUUGAGCUUCACCAACCAAUAUUAGAUGAUUAGCUUUAACCAAUUAGUUAGCUUAUAUAUUCUUUGAAGAUCUGAUAUUCAGUGAAAUAAGGAUUAUUAAUGGUAGUUAAAACGUUCCCUCAUCUCAUUAUCUUACGAGGAACUCUCUAGAAGCCAAAAAACGACAGGCAUCGCAUAUUUCUUCUAAGCGAAGCGAGUUUGAAUGUGGCAAUACCGAGAAAUUCAGCCAGCAGGCUGCGCGCUGUUGCAACUUCCAAUGCUUUUCGUCCCACAAAAUAGAUUUACAAAGAGAAUAAAUACAAAAUGAAUAGUGCUUGGCUUUUCAGUUUUGAGAGGGGACUUACAAGUUACAACGACAGCAAUAUAAUAUAGCAUUAAAAAGAAGAAUGAAAAAAGUCAUCUUGACCAAGCUUCAAGAACUUGCAUCUGAAGGCAAAAUGCCAAAAUGCCAUCGCUGAAUUGUACGAGGAAAUCUCUAAAUGCCAAAAUGCUAUCGCUGAAUUGAACCUGAAGGCAGAGAUAAGUUUCCUAUCAGAUUGUUAAAUCGCUGACAUGAAACUAUUAAUUCUGAAAUUGUAUGCUGAUAAAAAUUAAUCCAAUGGCUUUGUGAAGGUUGAUAAAAGAUUUCUUGAUGCUGAUAAAAAUUCACAUAUGAGGCCUAAAGGUUGAUGGGUUAUAGAUCUCAGAUUAAGUCUGCUGCAAAACAAUGUUUCUCAGACAUAUAUUCUGAAAAUUCUAGUCCUUGACCUACUUUGAGGAGUACUAAAUCAAAGCUGCUGUAUGGAGCUGCGUUUCUCAAAAGGAUCUAUGCCCAGACAGCAGGUAUACUUUUGAGUUUCACAAACAGAGUUGGAAACUUUAAGGGUGAUCUUUGUAUAUACUGUGUCUGAUUUUUCCCACUGCCAAAUCAGCAAAGGAAUAAACUCAAGUUAUAUUGGGCAAUUUCUCAUAAUCAAAACAGUGUUGAAAGUGUUAUCUUGACUUUUUAAAUGCAUUUGUUAUCCGAUGUAUUGUUAUACUAUCAAUAUCAUUGAUUUAAAUUCUUUUUAAAUCUAGAAAUAGUUUUUUCUUGACACACUCUCUCUACGCACAUUUUAAGAACACAAAUAACGAUGUAUCGUUAUACUAUCACUAUCAUUGAUUUAAAUUCUUUUUAAAUCUAGAAAUAGUUUUUUCUUAACACACUCUCUCAACACACAUUUUAAGGACACAAAUACCAACUUUAAGUACAAAGACACGCGUUUCACAUAAAUUGAUACUCUUACAUUUGGUUUAAUGCAUUAUAUGAGUUUGAACUUUGUAUGGUAUUGUGAUAUGACUCUAUUUUAACUUUUAUGUUAAUUUUACCCUGAACUUUAAUGUUAUGUUGUAAUAGCACUCUAAAUUGCAUUUAAUAUUUAAUUUGCAAAUAAAAGCACAUUAAUGUGGAGCCUACUCUUAACCUUGACUUAACUUAAUUCAAGCUUCUUUACGCACACAAAUUUAUCAAGUUUAAUUGUUGUCUUGAAUAAAUAUUUUUUUUUUCUUUCUACAAGCUAAAUUAUAAUUGAUUAUGAUAUCUUAUACUUUAUUUUUAACAAGAAAAUUAUUAAAAUUUCCAAUAGUCAAAUAAUCUUAUAGUAGUUCAAUUUUUUUCAAGCUUUGUUUUUUAAAUUUUAUAAUAUUUCAAAAUUUACAUUAAAAGCCAAACGAUAAUAAUAAUAAUAAUAAUAAUAAUAAUAAUAAAUUUUUUAUUUACAAAGUACUCUAAAUUUUUAAAAAUAAUAUCCAUAUAUCAAAUAAUGCAUUUCUAUUUAUUACUUAUUAUAAAUUAAAGAAAUAAUUUAAAAAAUAUUAAAAAUAAUAAUAGAGAUUUUCCUUACUAUUAACUCAUUCUUCUCACUUACACAAAUGUAUUAAGUUAAUCCAAGCCGAGAGUCAUGAGUGAAGCCAUAAUAAUUUAUUUUUUAUUUGUUAUUUAAGUCCUAAUUGUAAUUUAUGGUGCUAUUGCAACAAAAGGUAAAAGUUCAGAAUUGGUGAAAUUGAUAAGAAAUUCAAAUAUUGCAUUAAAUUUGAUUGAAUUAUCAACACAAUAAUAUUAACUCUCUCUUUUCAUUUUCAGUCAAAUUGCAGGCAAUUUUCAAGUUUUUGUGUGUUGUUUAUUAUUGCCCCAUCUGCAUUUAAAUCUUCUAACUGUGCCACAUUUUUAUUAUAUGACUACAUAUUUCUCGUGAUCAUAUCAUCGUGUUUAAGUAAAAUAAAAAAAUUACGUGCAUAUUAUAAUGUAUAUCCCAUUCGUUAAGAAUGGAAAAGUCAUUAUGAAUCCGGUUUCACAUUAUAUAAGAAUUUUUUAACACAAACUCCUCGUCUACAAAAAAAAAAAUGAGCAAGUGUUAUAAAAGUCGAACAUUAAAAAUUUUUUUAACAAAUUUUUCUGAAUACUAUUUUCCAAUGGCAUCGCUUUGCCGUAAACAAAAAAAAAAAAACUGCAGCCAUAAAAUUCCUCCAUUUUUAGAAUUAGAGAUUUCAGUUUCAAAACUCUUGAGUGACCGUGCCUCCCCAAAAUUCAUUUUCUCCACCAUUUCAUUCAAUACAAACCUAACUAUAUAUUUAAUACAAUAUCAGCAAACACAUUUUACCAUCUAAUAUUUCAAUUUAUACUUCUAAAAAACAAAACAGACUUAUUAUGUGUCUUAUUGGGUUAUAUCAAGGUAAAGGUGCCUGAGAAUAACUGGAAUCACAACCUCUAACGAAAUGCGGCAAGUGACCAUCAAUAGGCAUGACCUCAAUGAUUGAUGGACCGCCAAAACUUUGAUGUAGAUGUUCCGACGCCUCCAGUGGUGCAGCAUUUUCCAUUUUACUUUUGUAUUAUAUGAAAAGGGACAUAGACCAUAGGUUAAAUAUGUCUAGAGUCUGAUAAAAAUUUAACAGAGGCUUACAGUGAACAGAGUUCGACAGAAUUCUUGUACACCUACAAAGUUCAUGCCGCCAACUACCACCAUUGGCGUGAACACCCAGCACCAUGCUUUAUGAUUAGAACUCAUUCCUUCGAACAUUUGGUUUAUCUCUUUUUAGUCAAUUCCUCCCUUAUAAUUUUUAUCAUUCAAUGGCCUAGUUUGAAACAACAAAAAGAAAUUAUUUCUGUAAGGGUACACAUAUUAAAACAAAAAAAAAAAAAAAAAAGAGGACGGCAUAUGUUUUCUAUAAAUGUUUAUAUUAACAAACAAUGUUGUAGUAAAUAGAAAUAGUGGAAAUCUACACUUAUUUUUUUAACUAUUUAGCAUCUAAAAACUUACUAGUUGGACUAAUCGGAGUAUGUGCCAGACAAGCUCAUGAAGAAGGUAAAGCACUCCGUCCGAGUGUUUAAAGGAACACCAUAUUUAGAACUUGAACAGAGAAUGAAUUUCUAUCAUCUUAUCUCAUCCAUAGAGGAUUAGUUUUCCACUCUUUUUCGAUAUACUACUAGUAUUAACUUAAUUUUGAGAUUUAUAAAGCGACUUCGAUAAGUGGUUUGUAUAUAUAUUGAACUUUAACUUUACAGAAGUGACUGCCCAAACCGACACUAUUCAAUUUGGUUGGUCUGCUCACAACAAGUUUAGUUGUUGAUUUAUUUCAGUUCAAACUAAAAUUUCAAGGCAGUUUUGUUCGAUAAUGUCGAAUCUAAUCGAUUAAGCUGAACACUGAAUUGACUUUAUCAAAAUUUGAAGAAAUCAACUGAAUUCAUCCGAUUUGAUUCGAUUUUAAAAUAGGAAGUUCAGUUUACCCUUCCUAAUCUCGGUUCAGUUAGGUUUUAAACUGAAAUGGUGGUUUGAUUACCCCUAUAUAUGCUUGUGGACAAUUAAACAAGUAAGGCUAUUCUUUUUUUAUUUCACGAGAAUUUUUCUAUAUUUUCUUAUAUAUCGGACCAAUAUCAUUUCAGAAUUUAUAGUAGUUCAUCCAUAUAAUUAUUUUUUCCAGGGACUGAAUCUUUAAAUAAGUAAAUUAAGAUAUUGAGGGAUGCUAAUCUCAAUAAUUAUAAAUUACAUUAAAGCAUACUAUUAGGAAAAGGGAUUGGAAAGGUCAUGAAACCUCAGCCUUAGCCACUAAGGGUUCAUUGGACAUUCUCGACCUGGUUCAAAACUUGUUCCUGACGAUGACACAUGCUCAUAACUAAAAACUAGUAAGCAAAAUUAAAAUCUUAAAAAGAAGAUAUAUACCUGUUUUACGAGACUAGUUGUAUGUAUGCAGAAGCUUUUGAGAAAGUAUUUUAAAUUUUUGUCGUAGGAGCAUGCACGUUGGCAUUUCGCAGGCGGUAGGGGCAACGCAAAAGAGUUGUGUUUGCCGCAACCAUAAAAUGGCAUUUCACAUCAUAAACGGCUUUUGCUAUCAUAUCGUUUUACGUACAAAAAAAAAAAAAAAAAACUAUUUUGGUCCAUUACACACUAUUACUUAUACAUUAUUAAAACUAUUAUCUUCCUUCCAUAAUAUUUGUCAUAUUUUUUAGAAAAUAAUUUAUUCCAAAAUAUUUAUUACAUUUGUGAUUUGAAAAAAUGAUAAAUAUUUUUUUUACACGUUUACUCUUUAUAAAUAACCAAUAAUUAUUAUUUCAAUUUAAUAGUUUUCUUAAAAAACAUGAAAUACCAAAUAUGAUAAGUAUUAUUGGAACAAAAAUAUCAGAAUUUAUUAUAUAUAUAUAUAUAUAUAUAUAAUUUACGAUAUCUAUUGUUAUGUUGUAAAUACAAUGUAAUUACCAUUAAACUAUGUUUUUGUGUGCAAUUUGACCACAAACUUAAUUAUAAAAAUUAGUAAAUUAAAUUAUAUUAUUAUCGAGAACUACUGAAAAAUAAAAUAAUUUUACGAAAUACAGCCUAAAAAUAACUCCACGAUGAUAUUAUUCAUUAGCUUCAUCUUCUCCACGAUCAUAUAAUUUUUAUAUUUAUAAUUCUGUUUGCAAUGCAUCUGUUUUCCCAAAUUAAGAUUUUUCAGUAAUUUAAUUCUCUCCUCGAUAACCUCAUACAUUAUUUGAAUUUGAAACAAUUAAGCACUCGAAGAUCACUAUAGACUGUAUGAGGAGUGCUAGUUGCAGCGGCUCUUUAGAGUAACUGUUUAACUCUUUGGAAAAAGCCAUUCACACCACACAUCAACCCGAAACAUUUGGCAUUUUUGAUAUUGAAGCAGUAUGUUUGAUAUUGAAGUUAAAAAAAGAAGAAGCAAUGCAACAAUUUUUAAACCAACAUCACUUGUUAAUCAGAUAACGUAGCUAAUGUGCUUGACAAUGACCGGAAUUACAAUAUCCGGCGAGCUCAGUUGCGGCAAGUGACCACAGGUAGAUAUCAAUUCAACAAUAGAUGGGCCACCGAAAUUUUGAUGCAGAUAUUCAGAUACCGCUAUUGGCACUGCCAUGUCUUUCGUACUUUGCAGAAUAUGACAUGGGACAGUGACAGAAGGCAAAACAUGUCUCAUAUCUGUCAAGAAUAUAACUUGGGCUAAACUCAAAGCUAUAUCGGGUCUCAUGUUGAAUAGAGUUCUUGAAAAUUCUUGCACGGCCACAGAUUCCAUGUCGCCACCUACCACCAUUGGUGCAAAUCCUGAACACCAUGCUUUGUAAUUGGACUUCACUCCUUCAAAGAUUUGUUCUAUGUCUUCUUGCUCAAACCCUCCGUAGUAAUCCUCAUCAUUCAGUAGCCUAAUUUUAAUCAACAAAAUUGAAAGUUAAAUGACCAGAUUAUUAGAAUGAUAAUAAAAAAUCGCAUCAUAUAUACAAUUAAGUUAACGAAAGAUCAUACCUUGGAGUGGCGGAGAGGAGGAUGAGUUUAGAGAAAAGAUCAGGGCGAGAAACAGAGGCAAUGGCGCCAACCAUACCAGAAAAGGAGUGGCCAACAAAAAUACAUGAUUUGAUUUGUAAUUCUUCUAAUAUAGCAAGCAAAUCAUAAACGAAACCUUCAAUAAUUGAGUAUCUUUCAAAAUCAAAAUAGUCGGGAUUAGUAGUACCAGCACCCAUAUUAUCGUAUAAAACCACUACAUAAUCAUCAAGAAGAUGUGGCACUAAGAACUUCCAGACAGAUUGAUCGGUGCCAAAGCCAUGAGCUAGGACUAUAACUUCCUCGCCUGAACCAAGCACCUUGACGUUAUGUGCUUCUUCCACUAUUCCCAUAUUUCCUUACCUUGGUGCUCGUGUAUGUGUAGCGUAUGGGUUUUGGAGUUAUCCAUUUAAAGAUUAACGUCGGGGGACUUCGUUCAAGAAUCACGAGAUAGAUACCGCAUUUCCAUAUUAAAGAGUAAAGUCGAGUCAAAGUUGCAUUGGAUUUCGUCAAUAUAUAGCAAUAAGGCCCUGUUUGGUUUACUAUAGUUUGCCCCAUAUUUUAGGAAUAAGGGACAACGGGUCAAAUGUGUAUUUAUAUCCGCAUACUUAACGGGGAAAACUUUCUUUACGUCUCAAAUUUAAAUUUUACAUUUUACGGGUGACCUAUUACGACCCAGUUACAAACUUUGCUAAUAUUGUAUCCAUUUAUACUAGCGAUAACAUUUUUUUAGUGUUUUGACAUUUACGUGCAAAAUAUUCACUUAACGUAUAGUUAAUAUAAUCUUUGAAAUAAUAAUUUUUACAUUUUUCAACUAUUUAAUAAAUGUUUAAUUAACCUAAUUUUAGAAAUUUAAGUGUCCAAUAAAAUAAUUUUUACAAAUUGAAGUAAUUAAUUAGUAUAAUUUUAUAAAUUAAAAUGUUUAUUAAAUUAAAGUAAAAAAAUUGAAGGUGUCACAAUAUUUUUACGUAAACUAAAUGGAUAAAUUUAUGCAUUGAAUCGGACACAAUGGUAUAUUAUUUUAAAUUGAAAUAAAUGAAAUCAUACAGAUUUUAUAUGAGAUGAACUCUUUUCAAUUGGCAACAACUUUUUUUACAGCAUCACUGAAAAAGCUGUGUAGUUUGGAGUUUGAGAGCAAAUUAUCAAAAAGUUACUCUGUUUCACAACUAAGUCAAUGUUUUUGGAUCUUUUGGUUCAUUUAAUACACAUAUUAUACAUACAGGUAUACAGGUGCAUGUACAUGCGUGUAUGUGCCUAUUCAGGUUGAGAGGAUCUAGAGAGAGAAAAUGCCGCUUUAGCAUAUAACAUUUCACAAUUUUUUCAAUUCAAGUGCGAUCAGUCUUAAAAAUUUCCUAUAUAUAUAUAUUUACUGUAUAUAUAUAUAUAUAUGAUAAACAAAGAGCCAAAAAAUAGUUUACAAUGACUCUUCAAAACAAAACUGAGAAGUAAGCAACAACUUCAAUCUAGCUUCUAUUGUAAGCAAUCUAUCUAGUAUCUAUAUACAAACCCCUUGUAUGGUUAUUACUUCAAGCCAAUCCUGCUCUUCAAAGAGAGGUAUUAUAUAUGCAUUCGUAAUUUAUUAUCUCUAUUCACAAGAUAGCAGCACACAUAACAAUUACCUGCAGUCUUGUGCAGAGAAAAGCGGAUGCUAACAUUGCACUUCAUCAGCAUCUAGCGAGAAGAUAUCGACAGGGGUUCUUGUGCAGUCGACAGCAUUUUGAUCUUUGAAUCUACAAUUGGAAGAACCUAUCGGAUGAUCUAGGUAUAUUACAAUGACUGUAAUAUCAUCAUGGAAAUGACGCCUCACUCCUUUUUCAACUUUUCUUAUGUCGUCGUAUCUCAUUUCCCUUUUCCUUGCAGCUUCCUGCAGGGCUGCCCUCACUAAUCGCCUUGCAACUCCCUACAAAAGCAAAUACUUGUUCAUUUCUUGUCUGAAACGGCAAAUUAUCAGUUUGUUAUGGAAAUAAAUUAUGAUGAUCGAGUUCUUACAGCUCGAGGACUCUUCAAAACUAUAUCUACAGCUGUUUCAUCAGUCAAUUGCUCCCAAAGACCAUCUGAAGCAAAUAUCAAGAAUAGGUCUUGCGGCCUUAAAGGACGAACCAAUAUUGAAGGUUCUGCUGUUACCACUGGCCUUUUUAAUGGAAAAGGCAAUCCAAAUUGCUGAAAAAGAGCACCUCUAUUGAACUCCGGUUUCUUUAGAUAGACAUCUCCUAUUGAUCUUGAAACCUACAAGAAUAAGAAAAUUUCAAAAAUAAAUUCCAAGCAUCACAUGCUUUAGAUUACGACCACAAAAGUAGUGAAGUCAUAGACUUUAGGCAACAAGAAUAAGAGCAUUUUGGCAGUUCUGAAUUUAUUUUAGAUAACAGAUACCAGGUGACUAGUAAAUGUUCGUAGAAAGUUACAGAAGCAGAAAUCUCCAGUCAUGUAGAUAACAUACACAAGUUGCGGUCUACAAGUAUCCUGUUUACUUAUGUCUAUCUGUUGCAAAACAGAACUUCUUAUGUCAUAGCAGAAUGAGUGCCGAUAAAGGAUUAAGCUUUCUAAUACUAAAUUUUAGUUUCUUGAAGUUUCUAAAGCAAAAUAAAUUCCAAAGAAAAACAAAUCAUAAUGUUGCAGGAGUGGAAACUGAAGAAAGGAUCAAGAAUAGCAAAGCUGCAAAUGGACAGAGCAAAAAUAAAGUUAAAAUCUCCGGUGGUUCAAGAACUCAAUAUUUCUGUGUAAUUUUCUCAGUUAUGUACCUUGCUUCUAAAUGCGAACUUGAGAGAUUAAAAGAGUACAAUUGAGAAAAGAAGAAAAAGCAGAGGAGAGAGCAAGGAUUGGACGAAUAUUAGCCAGACAACAAACACAUACUGAAUUGCUGAAAAAAGAAGGUAAUACUCAUUAAAUAUUGAACACUAAUAUACAGUCACAGAAGUAAAAGAAGCAACAAAACAAUAACAGUAUAAAUAUUACCUGAAUUAUGCCCUUUAUACGCCAAACUCCACGGGUAUAAACCACAAUGUGGGAAUCAUCAGGAUGAAGUGCAGCCACCUCAUUCCUCACCUCCUCAACACAAACGUUGUGAUCGGUAGAUAAACGUUCGGCCACCACUGAACUAGUCUUGCCUUGAGAUACUCUCUUGCCAAGCACUGCUCUUGAGUCUCCAAGAUUUGCCACAUAUAAAACGCCAUUAGAUAUUGCCCCAACAAGACAACAAGAACCUACUGAAGCAAUCUGUGGCUGAACUGUCCAUGAUUGCUUUACCAAAUGCAAGAAUUCCUCUUCUAUUGCAUCAAAUGCCUUCCUUAUCACUUCCGCUGAUGCUCCACCCUGCUCUGCUGCAAGGUCUGAUACCGAAAGCCAUCCAUCAUGUUAGACAGGAAAAAAGAAGUGCCCCAGAAUUUCUCAGUAAUUAUACAAAACAUGCCAAUGCUAUAUUACUAAACCUAGUUUUACAUUUUACUCUAUUUCUUUUAUUUUCCUACACUUCCUCAGCUAGCAAAUAUUCCUAUUCAAAAACUUCGCCAGUUAAUUACUGAGCUAAGCUUAAAAAAAGAGAUUAAAACAAACUAGAAGUUUUUCGUUAAUUAAUGAUCUUGAAUUCGCUAAAUUUAAUUCAACAGUCAAAACAAUCUGAAGAAAAACAGAACAAUAAACCCAAGAUCACAAAACCCCCCGUUCUUUUCUUUCUUUUUUUUUCCCCAUUUUCCCAUCAACCAAACAAACUUCUUAAAAAAUGAUUAAAAAAACUCACCGUGUAUAAAAGGGAACAAAUUGUCAGCGAUGAACCUGGAAGCCUCAGGACCACCAUGGCCGUCAUAUACACCAACAUAAGUGGCAGAAGGAGAAGUAAAGACUUGUCCUUGGUCUUCCAACGAAGAAUUAGCUUGUACAACAGCAAUCGAGUAAUCCCCUAGAGCAUAAGGCUUUAAGUCUAUAUGCCAUAGCCCACCCCCACCAUCUCCACCUCCAAAACACCUCUCUAGAGGCCUUGUAAACAUUUCCAACACCAUACCCACUAACUAAAACUUGCCAAAAGAAAAACAAGAAAAAGAAAGAGAAAAUCUUUUGGGUUGUGGGUUUGAUGGAGUUUAGUGAAAAAGAAAGAGAAAUGGCGAGACGAUUUUCUUGGAAAAGAAAAGUUUGGGAGUUAGGGGGCAGUUGGGUGGAGGUUUGGACUCGUUCAAAGUAAACGUUUAAGAAGAAAGUGGGUAAAUUAAAAAUUUAAAGAGAAUAAUUUUCUUUUGGAGUUGACGCAGACGGAGAAAAAUUAAAAUUUUAUAGAUUGCUUCAUCAGAUGAUUAGAAUCCAAAAUCCUUGACGUGAAAAAAAUAUUAAGACAGAAAGAAAAUAAUAAAAAAAUUUUAAUUAUUUUUUAUUUAUUAUUUUUCUUCAUAUUUUCCUUCUAUCCAAAUAUAGGAUACGUGUUUGUUUGUUCUUUUUUUCCAAUGGGUUUGGGCAGGAGAAGUAGGAGACACUUUGACCGUCGUUUGUUAGGCUUGUUUUGUCAUUUGAGUAUCAGAGGGGAAAGAGACUCCCCAAUUUCUGUAUAUACACUUAUAUUAUAUCUUGAUAAAUUUUAUUAGGUUUGUUUUUGUUUGGCAUGUAUAGCAGACACCUUUUUCUCUUAUUUUUCGUUUUAAUUAAAUUUUAGUCAGAUAAUCAUAAUUAAAGCCCAUUAUUUCACCUGUUUAAGUUUUAGUAAUAUAUUUUUUAUUAAAAAGUUAUGGAUUUUUUUAGUAGCUUGGAUAUAAUAUAUUGAAAUAAUGUUUUAAAUUCAUUUAAGGAUAAUAGACUUUGAUUUCAAAAAUUAAAUCUAAAUUAAUAAUUGACAUAUGUAUAAUGUAUCUUUUUAAUUAUCAUUCUAAAUUUAGAUCAGAUAAAUUUAAAAACUCGGAUAAAUCAAAUUGGAUUAAUUUUCAUCUUCUAUACUUCUAUGAUUUUAUUGAAGCCCGAUCAGAGAGAUCAAGUCAAUAUUAAUAAGUUUAAAAUUAAAAUUAAAAUUACUACUACUUUGAAAAUUAAAUGCCUAAAAAUUAAAAAUAUGUGGUGUGUACCUAUUAAUUAGUUGCUAAUUGAGUCAAAUUAUAUAUACGUUCCUUAUUAUAAUAGUUUUAGGUUUUAUUUAUUUAUUCAAUAGUUUAAAAGUAAAAGAAUAUUAGAGAAUAUAUUAAUUUUUUUUAAACCAUUCAGUGUUCGAAAAUCCACUAGCUCAAUUUAUCAGAAUUUGCACUAAAUAGACUCAUAAAAGAGAAAAAAGUGCUCAAUUUUAAAUAUUUAAAGAGACUCUAUAUUCAAAUCUCCAUAGAUAAAAGUAUAUGGAAAUAGUAUUUUUUUUUCUUUCUUUAUGUUUUUUUUUCUCUGUGGUCAAGAAUGUGAAAGAUCUGCCUACUGUCUUGGUUGGUGCCCAUAAAUUAUGUCACAAGCUUGACUCUUCUUCCUCGUUCUAAUUCCACACGGUGAUGACCAUGUCUUAAUGUAAACUGAAAUUUGAAAAUAAAGAAAUGUCCAACUUUUGGCUUCGAGAGUCGUGAACCUCACUUUUGAAUAUUACAUUUUGCUUGACAAAUUAUCAGUUUUGAAAAUGGACUUAGAUUUUGGACCUUAAAUUGAUAAUGUCUUGGAAUAAUUUACAAUUAUGUGUUUUAUUUUAUUAAUUAGAGAAUUUUCUAUAUUCUCGGAAAUUUUCUAAUUUUUAUUUUAAAAAUAUUAUAACAUUAUAUAUUGUGUUUAAUAACAUUAAAACAUCUAAGCCCGUCUAGCUCAGUCGGUAGAGUGCAAGGCUCUUAACCUUGUGGUCGUGGGUUCGAGCCCCACGGCGGGCGGAAUUUUUAUUUUAAAAAUAUUAUAACAUUAUAUAUUGUGUGUAAUAACAUUAAAACAUCUAAGCUCGUCUAGCUCAGUCGGUAGAGUGCAAGGCUCUUAACCUUGUGGUCGUGGGUUCGAGCCCCACGGUGGGCGUAAUUUUUAUUUUAAAAUAUUUGUUUUCCAUUUGUAGUCUAUUCUGGAAAAUCCUUGCAUAAAUCUCAAACCAACAUUUUUUUUCUGUGUAAGCAUAUUCAGACUUUAUUAUUAGAAAUCGUCUAAUUUAGCUUGAGAUUUAGUUAUAGUUAAAGUUUUUUAUGUCUCUCUGCAUGUGUGUUUAGUGUGAAAUGAACUCGAAAGCUCAUUUCAGCUUUCACAACUCAUAGGUUAAGUGACAAUUAUUUUUAAUUGAAUAACGUGAUAAUUUUAACUAUAUCGAUUAAAUUUUUUUAAUCUAUGUAUAAAUGAAUCCAGGACACAAAGUAUGUAGCAGAGGAAAUAUUAACCAAUUAGCUAAUAUUCUUAAAUACACAUAAUAUACAUCUCAAAUAAAAUACAAAUAGUAAAUUAAUUAAUUCCGCACUUUACGCGGGUCGAUAGACUGGACUGGAUUUGCUUGACCAUUUGAAUGUGCAAGUCAAUCUUUUACAUUAAAGGAGUGAUAAUUACUUCAAAAAAAAAAAAAAGAGUUAUGAUACUUCAAUAGCGAUCCAAUUCAAAGAUGCAAUAGUUAUUUUACUGCCUCUCUGUUCCAUUAAUUUUAAUAUUUUAAUAUUUUUAUUUUCCUCUUAUAAAAUAUUUUUACAAAUUACCGUCGUAUAGAACCGUUUCAUUCUGAUUUUACUUUUAUUUAAAUUUAAAUAUCUUCACCAAAUUUUCUCUUUUAAUUAUAAUAAAUUAAAUAAUUUAGUCAUUUACUCUUAAUUUCUAGAUUGAGAUGAUGAAAUAUUUUUUAUAAUUAUUGUAAAAAGUCAAAAAAAAAAUAUCAAAAUUAACUGAAUGGAUGUAAUAUUGUCUAUAAGAAAUAUUUCAGUGAUAAAGAUUUGAAAUAUUUUAAAAGGUGUGGAUUAAAAUUAAAUUUAAUAUCUAAAGCUCAAUAUGUUUUUCAUAUGUACGAAUACCAUUUUCUUGGUAAUAUCAGAAGUUAAAUAGUAAAUUUGAAAGAGAAAUUUGUGAAAUAGGCAGUGAUUAAGACAAAGUUGAAUUUGUAAAUAUAGCUAACGUGAUUCCGAGUAUUUUUUUUUUGAGAAUUUGAGAGGGGGAUUCAAAUCCGAAUCUAUGUUUAAGGGAAGAAAAAUUUUUUUCUUUUUGGGAAAAAAAAAAGUAUUAUCCCCUAAUUUUUUUUUUUGCUGAAUUGGCCAUUGAUUUUAUGUUUUAGAGAUGACUUACAGCUUACAAGUAAUUAAAAUAUGUUUUCUUAUAAAUUUUGUCGUUUACAUAUUCCAUGCUCCUUAGAGAUCUCAAAAAAACUAAAAAGAAAAAAUUGGAUGUUGUUGAUCAAUUUGUACUAUGAACGUCUCCCACAUUGUAUUUCUCAAUAUUUUAGCAUGAACUUCCCCUACAUUGUAAUUUCCAAGAUACUUGGUUAGAGUUAGAGAUCCUAAAAAUUCCUUAAACAUGUAAAUAAUUAAUUACUACUUCCUAAAAUUCUAUAUAAAUUGACAAUUCUUUUACAACUUGCAAUAUGUAUUUGCAAGAAUAGAACAAAAAAAAAAAAAAAAGAAAAUUCAAAAAACAAUAUGCAAACUCCUAUCUUUUCUUCACUAAAAUAUUUAGUUGCUCACUUUUCUUUUCCUAUAACUUGUUUUAUUUAACAAAUCAGUCCAAAAUAACCUGAAUAAAUGGCAAACUAGUACAUGAAUGAAAUGGACAAAUAAAAAUUCAUUGUAAUGUAAAAGGUUCUGCCAAAAAAAAAAAAGAAAAAAGAAAAAGAAAAAGAAAAAGAGAACAAGAAGAAGAAGAAUAUUCUUAACUUGACUUAAACUAAAUAGACAAGUAAACAGUACAAGAAAGGGAUCACUGUUAUUAUUGGAUUCUUAAUAAGCAAUCUAACCUUUUUUUUUUUUUUUUUUUUCUUUUGAUCAGCAGAUAAAGAAAGAGUCAUGAGAAACGAACACAAAAGUUCAUCAUUAAUAUUUAAUAACACACGUUAAAUUGCUAAUAAUAGAUUAAUCAAAAGAAAAGAAAAGAUUUACAUAAUUCCUUUUCCUUUCCUUUUCUUUUUUGGGGUUCAAUCCAUUUUUAUCCAACUUCUUCUGUCUUGGAAGUCAGUCACGAAUUGCCAUUUUCACUCCCCACAUUAUCAUAAAGCAGCAAUCGUCAGUCGUGGGAAGUUUUCGCUAAGAGCUCUUCUCUUUACUCAAGGGUCUUCCCUUUAUCUUGGGUUUUGUCCCUUUACUUUAGAUCCCUUUUUACCCUGCUAUUUCAACUUUCCACCUCCAUGUUUACUCUUUCAAAUUCCGUUAUUUUCUUUGUCCUUUAACCUCUUCGUCCUUUUCCUUACUUGUGUGCCCCUCUUUCCUUCCUUUUGUCUUCUUUCUUUAUGGACAAAGCUGCACUAAUAGUUAAUGCCUCUCACUAACCAAACCUGGCACCACAUGAUUCCAGUCCAGUGCUAACAUUAAUUGAAGAAGAUAAUAGAAGCAUUAAUAGUAAGAAUGUGCUUGCUGGGAAAAUUAUUACAUCUGGGAAAUACAGUGCGGAGGUUGUUAAAGAAAUCAUGACUAAAUCCUGGCACUGCAAGGAGAAUUUCUCUGUAUACUUAAGAGAGAUAAACACCUUUGUUUUUACUUUCCAUAAUGCAUGUGAUGUUCAAAGAAUUCUUGUAGGAAGAGCUUGGAUACUUCAAAACCAACAUAUGGUUCUAAAAGAAUGGCCACCAGAUAUUGCUUUUAAUGAUAUUGAUUAUAAUUUAUCCACUUUCUGGAUUCAAGCUCAUGGUUUGUCCCCAAGCCAAAUGAACCACUCUAAUGCAAGUCUAAUUGGUAACUAAUUUGGGGGAUUAUUAAAAGUUUAUCUUAGGCAAGAUGAAGCCCAUGGAUGGUAAUGAUAUCUGAGAUUCAAGGCCAAUGUUAAUGUCACCCGACCUUCGUUAUUGGGGUUUAGCUACUACCAUUCAAGAGCGUCCACGUGGUACCCUAAGACAUCAAAUCUGCUCAAACCUAAACCAAAUCAGCCAUGAUAACCUGUUCAAUCUAUCACAUCAGGGCCUACCUUCAUUCAAUGCUAGUCCUAAUCAACCUGCACACCGUAACCAAGACCGUGAUUCUCAGCCUGACCAAGCCCAUUCUAUAGUUAUGGCCCAUUCUGUAUCAAGCCCAACUAGCAACCCUAAUUUAGAAAAGAUGGUCCAAAUACCCAAUUCUCCAAAUCAACGCCCAAACCCAAAGACAGAUUCUAAUUCCUCACUCUUUUCUCUUGAGCCGAAUAAGAUCACCUGGAAAACUAGGAAAAAAACAUUCCUUGAGAACAUCCAACCCAUCAAUACAGGUCUCUAAGACCUAUUCUCGCCAGGCCAACACCCUCUAGACCAAUUGUCUUUGGACAAACUUGUGCUGAUUACAAAAGAUAUUUUGUUUCCACAAUUCAGCACUAAUAAUCAGCAAACGCUAUUAGAGGAGGCUUCGAAGGCGGCUGACCUGAUUAUUAAUCAAGCCAGUGUUUUACACUAAAAUACUCCUUCAGACCCUGUUCCUAAGAAGAAGCAAUGGAAAAGACUAGCAAGUAGCAAAAGGGUUGUUAUAGAAGAACUGAUUGAGGAAAAUAAUGCAGCUUUGCAAAGCCAGCUUGAGUUGCAAAAUAGAAGCCCCAAGAAGAGGCCUUUCACAGAACAAUUAGUGUUGGAAAACAAGAAAAUCUGCCCUGAUGAUACAAUGGUGGAGGAAGCCAGCCAUAAAUGGCUACAAGGGGAUCAAUGAAACUUUUGAGUUGGAAUUGUCAGGGUUUGGGGAACCCCCUGACAAUUCAUAACCUCAAAGGUAGUUUCAAAUCCCAUUCCGCUGAUAUUAUUUUUCUUGCUGAAACUAAAAAUAGUGAUGCUUUUGUGACUAAGAGACUUUGUACAUAUGGAUACCAGGUGCUAGAUACAGUACAACCAAAAGGGAAAGCAGGUGGUUUAGCGUUAAUCUGGCGGGAGAUAGUAAAUGUCAAAGGUCAUUAAAAAAGAAUAGUUCUUUAUGCAUGCCAGGGUGAAAGAUGAUAGUUUGCAUCUAUGUUGUGAUCUUAUGUGUGUUUAUGCUAAUAGUGAUGAUAUGCACUGGAAGGAACAAUUUGAUUUUCUUAUACAAUAUCAGCAAGUCCUAUCUUAUUAUACUCUUUUUGCUGGGGAUUUCAACUCUAUUUUGAGUUUAAGAGAAAAACAAGGUGGAGGUUCUUAUGGAAUGUGGAAACUGAAUAUGUUUCGAGAUUUUGUUAAUAGUAUGACGCUGGCUGAUUUAGGCAUUUAAGGACAUCCAAUGACAUGGAAUAAUUGAAGAGACGGAUCUUCGAAUGUUCAGGAAAGACUAGAUCAUUUUCUUGCUACUAGUUCUUAGUUUAUCAAGUUUCCCAAAGCAAAAGUUUAUCAUCUUGAUUAUUUGGGAUCAGACCAUCAUCCUAUACUCCUUGAUGUCCAUCCAAAUGUGUGGAAGAGUCCUAAAUAUUUCCAUUUCGAUGACCAUUGGACCUUAAAUCCUGAUGUUGGUCAUGUGGUGGAAGAGGCUUGGCAAUAUGAGACACAUAGCUCAGAUUUGUUUAAGGUUUUCUCCAAACUCAAGAAAUGUAAGCGAGCAUUAUAGGUGUGGGCAAAAAACAAUUCUGUGAACUCACAGAAAUGGCUACAGGAACGUAAAAUUUGUUGGCGUGAGCAAAUCAAGGAGAAAGAAAUGUCAAAGUUUGACAGAUUGUGAAGAAAAUCUACUGUCAAACUUUGACAUGAGCAAAAAAUAGGAUUUGUCAAAGUUUGACAGAUUAUGAAGAAAAUCUGCUGUCAAACUUUGACAAAUCUUAAAUCUUUGCCUUUAAUUUAGGCUGUAAAUUAGGAUCUAAAUUGUACAAAACUAGUAUAAAUAUUUGUAAUUGCUGGAAAAGUAAUUAGAGAGGUGAAACAAAAUUGUUCUUAAUUAUCUUUUCUACAUGGUAUCAGAGCGAAUUAGGUAGAAACUGAUUUUUUUUCUGCAAUCAUGACAGAAGAAAAUCCUUUUGCUGUCAUCCCUCAUGAAUCUCGAAUCAUUGUUCAAGACAAUGCCCCUCUCCCCUCUGGAAUCAUCUUAGAUGAUACAAAUUAUCCAUUAUGGUCGCAACUUAUGGAGAUGCGUAUUGGAGCUCGAAAUAAAUCCGGAUUUCUUACCGGUGCAACACCAAAACCAGCUGCAAAUGACAAGCAAUUGGAAACCUGGCUUCUUGAUAAUAACCGGGUUAAGAGUUGGCUCAUUGAUUCUAUGAGUCCACUCUUGAUGCAACGAUUCAUCCGUCUUCAAACAGCCAAAGAAAUAUGGGAAGCUGUUGCAAAGACCUUCACAAUCUAUCAAACUUUGACAUUUCUUUCUCCUUGAUUUGCUCACGCCAACAAUUUCCACUAAUUUCAUAACCUUUGACAUUUCUUUCUCCUUGAUUUGCUCACGCCAACACUCCCCCUCAAGUUGGUGAAUAUAUGUCCAUCAUUCCCAACUUGUUAAGUGAGCUUUGAAAAUCUUUUACGGAUAUAGCCUUUGUUAGGAUAUCUGCUAGUUGAUCUUUUGAAGUGACAUAUCUUCUUGGCUGGGCUUGACCCAGAAUUCAACCAAGCUCGAAGUGAAAUAUUGAGGAAAGAUCCACCUCUUGAUCUUGAGUCAUGUUAUGCAUAUGUUCGCAAAGAUCAAAACCAGAGACAAACUAUGGAGGAAUAAAAAGUUCAGCCAGAUGGAAUGGUUCAUUUGACAGUCCGAACACGCCCUACAAAUUCCCAACAGGCUAAAGGAAAAAAAUUUGGCUCCAAGGGAAAUAAUUAUGUGUGCACUCACUGUGGUGAAGAAGGACAUUCAAAACAACGUUGCUAUGAGAUUAUUGGGUAUCCAGAAUGGUGGGAUUUUACAAAGAAACCUAGGAAGAAAAUUGUACAGGCUGCUGCCACAACCACAAAAGAUGAAGAAGUAAUUGCAUCAACUUCAAAUCCAGUUGCAGCACACGUUACAAAAGCUGAAAAUCCAGGUCUAUCUAAUACUUAUUGUAACAUCCCUUCCCGGUCCACCCGUUAACCCGAAUGAACCGAGCCGAGACGCUACAAUCUGGUUGAACUUAUAUCCUGUCAUGCUGAUAUCACCCUGUAUGCGAGAUAUGAAUAUAAGACACUCCCAAUUAACAUAUCAGACUUCCAAUAUCUCCAACUAAUCAUCAUAACACAACAACACUUUAUAUAUAUAGUCAUAACUGUAUAAAUCCUCAAUAGCAUUUAAUAUCCAGCAAAAUAUUUGCAUUCAUGAUCUCUAUCAAGUCUUCAUGACCUAAUCAUACCAACUAUAGUAAAAUAUUUCAUAUUCAAUCAUUUCCUCCAAAUACUUACACCACAAUAAUUACAUGCUUCAAUUAUAUUUCCAAUCACAUAAGCUCUAACAAAUGUAAUAAUUAUACAUGCCAUAAAUCUUAAUACAUGCCAUAAUUCUUAAUAUUACAACUCUCAAUCUACUAUGACCAAAUUAAGCACUUCUGCUUUGAUAGUACUCCUCAAGUCUUCAAGUAGCAACCACGAUCUUCAACCUACGCAUGAUAAAAAUCGACGCGCUGAGUAUAAAACUCAGUAGUGCUCAUAAUUCACAUANNNNNNNNNNNNNNNNNNNNNNNNNNNNNNNNNNNNNNNNNNNNNNNNNNNNNNNNNNNNNNNNNNNNNNNNNNNNNNNNNNNNNNNNNNNNNNNNNNNNNNNNNNNNNNNNNNNNNNNNNNNNNNNNNNNNNNNNNNNNNNNNNNNNNNNNNNNNNNNNNNNNNNNNNNNNNNNNNNNNNNNNNNNNNNNNNNNNNNNNNNNNNNNNNNNNNNNNNNNNNNNNNNNNNNNNNNNNNNNNNNNNNNNNNNNNNNNNNNNNNNNNNNNNNNNNNNNNNNNNNNNNNNNNNNNNNNNNNNNNNNNNNNNNNNNNNNNNNNNNNNNNNNNNNNNNNNNNNNNNNNNNNNNNNNNNNNNNNNNNNNNNNNNNNNNNNNNNNNNNNNNNNNNNNNNNNNNNNNNNNNNNNNNNNNNNNNNNNNNNNNNNNNNNNNNNNNNNNNNNNNNNNNNNNNNNNNNNNNNNNNNNNNNNNNNNNNNNNNNNNNNNNNNNNNNNNNNNNNNNNNNNNNNNNNNNNNNNNNNNNNNNNNNNNNNNNNNNNNNNNNNNNNNNNNNNNNNNNNNNNNNNNNNNNNNNNNNNNNNNNNNNNNNNNNNNNNNNNNNNNNNNNNNNNNNNNNNNNNNNNNNNNNNNNNNNNNNNNNNNNNNNNNNNNNNNNNNNNNNNNNNNNNNNNNNNNNNNNNNNNNNNNNNNNNNNNNNNNNNNNNNNNNNNNNNNNNNNNNNNNNNNNNNNNNNNNNNNNNNNNNNNNNNNNNNNNNNNNNNNNNNNNNNNNNNNNNNNNNNNNNNNNNNNNNNNNNNNNNNNNNNNNNNNNNNNNNNNNNNNNNNNNNNNNNNNNNNNNNNNNNNNNNNNNNNNNNNNNNNNNNNNNNNNNNNNNNNNNNNNNNNNNNNNNNNNNNNNNNNNNNNNNNNNNNNNNNNNNNNNNNNNNNNNNNNNNNNNNNNNNNNNNNNNNNNNNNNNNNNNNNNNNNNNNNNNNNNNNNNNNNNNNNNNNNNNNNNNNNNNNNNNNNNNNNNNNNNNNNNNNNNNNNNNNNNNNNNNNNNNNNNNNNNNNNNNNNNNNNNNNNNNNNNNNNNNNNNNNNNNNNNNNNNNNNNNNNNNNNNNNNNNNNNNNNNNNNNNNNNNNNNNNNNNNNNNNNNNNNNNNNNNNNNNNNNNNNNNNNNNNNNNNNNNNNNNNNNNNNNNNNNNNNNNNNNNNNNNNNNNNNNNNNNNNNNNNNNNNNNNNNNNNNNNNNNNNNNNNNNNNNNNNNNNNNNNNNNNNNNNNNNNNNNNNNNNNNNNNNNNNNNNNNNNNNNNNNNNNNNNNNNNNNNNNNNNNNNNNNNNNNNNNNNNNNNNNNNNNNNNNNNNNNNNNNNNNNNNNNNNNNNNNNNNNNNNNNNNNNNNNNNNNNNNNNNNNNNNNNNNNNNNNNNNNNNNNNNNNNNNNNNNNNNNNNNNNNNNNNNNNNNNNNNNNNNNNNNNNNNNNGAGCGCGUAUGUGUUAUCGGCACAAGUCGCGAGCGCGUAAAUGCAAGUCGCGAGCGCGUACAGUGCAAAAUGAGAGACAGUGAGUUCCCAGGCCAAAUUCGCGAGCGCGCGAUGAAGGUCGCGAGUGUUUACAGGCCAAGGGCCAAGUCGCGAGUGUGCACUUGCAAGUCGUGAGCGCGAGAAGUGCCAAAUGAGAGGUAGUGAGGUUGCGAGCACAAGUCGCGAGAGCGUAAAUGCAAGUCGCGAGCGCGUACAGUACAAAAUGAGAGUCAGUCGCGAGCUCUUCAUGCAAUUCGCGCGCGCGUCGCGUUUUCCAGCCUGCACUGUCUGUACUCUUUUGGUCAUAUCUCUCAAUAUACAACUCCGAUUUGAAUGAUUCAAAAACCCAUGUAAAGCUAACACAUAGAGGAACAAAUAACUCUUCUAUGACACUUCCUAAUUCCAUCAUUUAANNNNNNNNNNNNNNNNNNNNNNNNNNNNNNNNNNNNNNNNNNNNNNNNNNNNNNNNNNNNNNNNNNNNNNNNNNNNNNNNNNNNNNNNNNNNNNNNNNNNNNNNNNNNNNNNNNNNNNNNNNNNNNNNNNNNNNNNNNNNNNNNNNNNNNNNNNNNNNNNNNNNNNNNNNNNNNNNNNNNNNNNNNNNNNNNNNNNGAGUAGCUACCCUGAAGAACGAGUCUUCUAGAUGAACUGCAGCAGUUGUAAGCUGACUCUCUACGGUCCAAUCUCAAAACCUGCGAGUUAAACAGGUAACUCGCUGAGCAAAUAAAGCUCAGUGGAUAUCUCAACAUAUAAAGAAACAAUUAAGCACAUACAUAGAUAGAAAUAAGCAUGUAAAUGCAUAAGGAUAACCAAACAUAUAAGCAUAUAUAGCAUGAUCCUUUCCUUAUACCUUGAUUUUCUUUCGUACUGUUUAUCAUACUGUAUGAUUUAUGAAUUGUUAUGUCACAAUAUCUGUAUGGCUCCAUAAGGUUAUAGUGAAACCGAGGUGAUAAGGGAAGCUGUAUGAAACUGGAUGAAUACUGUAUGCUUGGCUGCUAUGGCCGAUAUAUAAUCAUAUCCACUCAACGGCCUGUAGCCGGAGUACUAAACUGUAUGGGGCACAGAUCUGCUAUCCUAUGUUGCGACAUAGCCUUAUCUACAUGGUUUCUACCUAACCUCAAUGGAGCAAAGUGUUGGUAUGUCAAUAAGAUAACACAAUAGCAUAAUAAUAGUUCAUAAUUUCAUAAUUCAUAAUGUUCACUUGAUUUCACAUCAUUUGCAUGCUUGCAUGUUGUUUUGAUACAUGUUCUAAUGUUGUAUUUGAUGUUAAAAUGAUUGGAGGCAUAUAAGUGAAGCAAAGGAAUACAAUUGCAUUGAAAAUGAAGUCCAAAAAUGCAUGAAAACACAAGUCGCGAGCGCGCCUUGCAAGGUCGCGAGCGCGUAAUGCACCAGAUGAGAGACAGUGAGUUAUCGGGCACAAGUCGCGAGCGCGUACUUGAAAGUCACGAGCGCGAGAAGUGCCAAAUGAGAGACAGAGAGUUUGCGAGCACAAGUCGCGAGCGCGNNNNNNNNNNNNNNNNNNNNNNNNNNNNNNNNNNNNNNNNNNNNNNNNNNNNNNNNNNNNNNNNNNNNNNNNNNNNNNNNNNNNNNNNNNNNNNNNNNNNNNNNNNNNNNNNNNNNNNNNNNNNNNNNNNNNNNNNNNNNNNNNNNNNNNNNNNNNNNNNNNNNNNNNNNNNNNNNNNNNNNNNNNNNNNNNNNNNNNNNNNNNNNNNNNNNNNNNNNNNNNNNNNNNNNNNNNNNNNNNNNNNNNNNNNNNNNNNNNNNNNNNNNNNNNNNNNNNNNNNNNNNNNNNNNNNNNNNNNNNNNNNNNNNNNNNNNNNNNNNNNNNNNNNNNNNNNNNNNNNNNNNNNNNNNNNNNNNNNNNNNNNNNNNNNNNNNNNNNNNNNNNNNNNNNNNNNNNNNNNNNNNNNNNNNNNNNNNNNNNNNNNNNNNNNNNNNNNNNNNNNNNNNNNNNNNNNNNNNNNNNNNNNNNNNNNNNNNNNNNNNNNNNNNNNNNNNNNNNNNNNNNNNNNNNNNNNNNNNNNNNNNNNNNNNNNNNNNNNNNNNNNNNNNNNNNNNNNNNNNNNNNNNNNNNNNNNNNNNNNNNNNNNNNNNNNNNNNNNNNNNNNNNNNNNNNNNNNNNNNNNNNNNNNNNNNNNNNNNNNNNNNNNNNNNNNNNNNNNNNNNNNNNNNNNNNNNNNNNNNNNNNNNNNNNNNNNNNNNNNNNNNNNNNNNNNNNNNNNNNNNNNNNNNNNNNNNNNNNNNNNNNNNNNNNNNNNNNNNNNNNNNNNNNNNNNNNNNNNNNNNNNNNNNNNNNNNNNNNNNNNNNNNNNNNNNNNNNNNNNNNNNNNNNNNNNNNNNNNNNNNNNNNNNNNNNNNNNNNNNNNNNNNNNNNNNNNNNNNNNNNNNNNNNNNNNNNNNNNNNNNNNNNNNNNNNNNNNNNNNNNNNNNNNNNNNNNNNNNNNNNNNNNNNNNNNNNNNNNNNNNNNNNNNNNNNNNNNNNNNNNNNNNNNNNNNNNNNNNNNNNNNNNNNNNNNNNNNNNNNNNNNNNNNNNNNNNNNNNNNNNNNNNNNNNNNNNNNNNNNNNNNNNNNNNNNNNNNNNNNNNNNNNNNNNNNNNNNNNNNNNNNNNNNNNNNNNNNNNNNNNNNNNNNNNNNNNNNNNNNNNNNNNNNNNNNNNNNNNNNNNNNACUUAUCUUGUUAGGAAUAAUACAUGGAUAAUUGAUACAGCUGCUACUGACCAUAUGACAAAUGAUUCUACCCUUCUUUCACAUAUUCAUCCUUCACCUCAACCUCAUGUACUCACUGCUAAUGGAGGAGUUGCUCCCGUUAUUGGCGAAGGAUCAACACAUGUGUCGCAUUCCAUUAAUCUUGAUACUGUGCUUGUAGUUCCUUCUCUUUCUUCCAACCUUUUAUCUGUUGGUAAAAUCACAGAAACUCUAAAUUGUACUGCAACUUUUUGGCCUAAUAAAUGUAUUUUUCAGGACAUUAUAACACAACGGAUUCUUGGCUAUGGUAUUAGGCGUGGAAACUUGUACUAUCUUGAUUUGGCCACUUCAAGAAAACAAAGAAUUGAUCAAGCAAAUAACACUGAGGCCAGUCAAGGAAAUGAGGAUAUGGUUUGGUUAUGGCAUCGUCGCCUUGGUCAUCUGUCAUUUAAUUAUCUUCGAAAAUUAAAACCAAGUUUGUUUUUACAUACAAAUGCUAAGUUUGAUUGUGACGUUUGUGAAAUGGCUAAGAGUCAUAGAAUUUCAUAUCUUCCUAGUUAUAAUAAGAGUACUUCACCUUUUAUGAUUAUCCACUCUGAUGUUUGGGGACCUGCUCAAAUCCCUACAUUAUCUGGUGCUCGUUAUUUUGUGACAUUUAUUGAUAAGUGUACUCGCAUGAUUUGGGUCUAUCUCCUAAGAAACAAGGGAGAGGUAUGUUCUGUUUUGCAGAAUCUGUAUCGAAUGGUACAUUCACAGUAUCAAUGCAGAAUUAAAGUUCUUCAAUCUGAUAAUGGUGGGGAGUAUAUAAAUUCUGAAUUGAAAAUUUUUUGUCAAAAAAAUGGUAUUCGACACCAAACUUCAUGUGCUGGUACACCACAACAAAAUGGUUUGGCAGAACGAAAAAAUCGCCAAAUACUAGAGGUUGUCCGAGCUUCUUUAUUUGGCAUGAAAGUACCUCGAGAAUACUGGGGCGAAGCUAUUUGCUCUGCUGCAUAUCUUAUUAAUCGGACGCCGUCACGAGUCAUUGAGUUUAAAACACCACAUCAAAAACUCCAUGAAUUAGUUUCUGCUCCAAUCAGUCCGAACCUUGAACCUCGUGUCUUUGGCUGUACUGCAUAUGUACACCGGGUUGCAGGUAAACUUGAUCCACGAGCUGUCCGUUGCAUGUUUAUUGGGUAUGCAAACCUCCAAAAGGGAUAUCGAUGUUAUGAUCCUACAGAAAAUAAAAUGUAUGUAACCCGCGAUGUCACAUUCCAUGAAAAUACUCCUUAUUUUGGUGGUCAUGAGUGCUCUCUUCAGGGGGAGACUACACUUAAUUUGGGUGAAGACAACACUCAUGAAUACUUUGAAGAACAAGAAACGGCUGAUAAACAACUUUCAGAUCCUGUUGUCACACAACCUGAGAAUGAUGAUGGCGCCCAAGAAAAUCAAGAUAGUACAAUUUCCCAAGUCACCCCACCAGCCAUAGAAAUUCCAGAUGUGUCGGUGUCUCCUCAGGGAACAACACUACCAUCCUCUCCUUUAAUUCACGAUCCAAUUCCUCUAGCUGAACCAAGAUAUCCAAUUAGGAAGAAUAGAGGAAUUCCAAAAGCACAAUAUGAACCUGAUUUUAAUGCUAAGACUAAGUACCCCAUUAACAAUUAUACCUCGUCUCAUCAUUUGUCAAAAUCACAUGCACUUGUUGUAAAUCAAUUAUCUCCUGUAUCUAUUCCAAGUAAUGUGCAGGAAGCAUUGAUGGAUUCAAAAUGGAAGAAAGCUAUGAAUGAUGAAAUGGAAGCCUUACAAAAGAAUCAUACAUGGGAACUUGUAUCGCUGCCCCCAAAGAAGAAAACUGUAAGGUGCAGAUGGAUCUUCACAGUUAAGCUUAAUCCAAAUGGAAUCAUAGAUCGUUACAAGGCAAGGCUUGUUGCUAAAGGGUAUACACAAAAGUACGGAAUUGAUUAUGGAGAUACAUUUGCUCCUGUAGCAAAAAUAAAUACCAUACGAAUUCUUAUUUCCAUACCAGCGAAUCAAGAUUGGCCGUUGCAACAGUUCGACGUUAAAAAUGCAUUUCUGAAUGGAAAUUUGGAAGAAGAAGUAUACAUGGAUCCUCCUCCAGGCAUAAAUUGUGGUGGCAAGGUAUGCAAACUAAAAAGGGCCUUAUACGGAUUAAAGCAAUCCCCCCGAGCAUGGUUUGGAAGGCUAUCAAAUUUCAUGAAGAAAAUUGGAUACAAACAAAGUGAUGCUGAUCAUACUCUCUUCGUCAAACAAGAGUUUGAGAAGGUAACUGCUCUUAUUGUAUAUGUGGAUGACCUGGUUGUUACUGGAAAUGACUCAAAUGAAAUAGUUGUCCUCCAAGAAAGCCUUGAAACUGAAUUUGAACUUAAAGAUCUUGGACACUUGAAAUAUUUCUUAGGCAUUGAAGUUGCAAGAUCAAGUAAUGGAAUUUAUCUAUGUCAGCGAAAAUAUGUAUUAGAUUUGCUAGCAGAAACUGGGAUGCUUAACUGUAAGCCCGUUGAAACUCCCAUUGAAGUGAAUCACAAGUUAGCCAUUCAACAAAACCAAAUUCCAGCUAACAAGGAGAGGUAUCAAAGAUUAGUUGGGAGGCUAAUAUACUUGUCGCAUACGCGUCCUGACAUNNNNNNNNNNNNNNNNNNNNNNNNNNNNNNNNNNNNNNNNNNNNNNNNNNNNNNNNNNNNNNNNNNNNNNNNNNNNNNNNNNNNNNNNNNNNNNNNNNNNNNNNNNNNNNNNNNNNNNNNNNNNNNNNNNNNNNNNAGGAUAUACAGAUGCAGAUUGGGCUGGAAGUCUGACCGAUCGAAAAUCCACAUCAGGGUAUUUCACUUUUGUUGAAGGCAACUUAGUUACAUGGCGAAGUAAGAAGCAAAAAGUGGUAGCAAGAUCAAGCGCAGAAGCAGAAUUUCGCGGAAUGGCACAAGGCAUCUGUGAAUUGCUAUGGAUAAAGCGUAUUUUACAUGAUCUGGGUAUACAUCUGUCAACACCUAUGAAGUUAUUAUGUGAUAAUAAGGCAGCCAUAGCAAUUGCAAAUAAUCCAGUUCAACAUGACAGAACCAAACACGUGGAAGUCGAUCGGCACUUCAUCAAAGACCAUCUUGACAAAAAUACAAUUAGUCUUCCGUUUGUCACUUCAAAAGAUCAACUAGCAGAUAUCCUAACAAAGGCUGUGUCCGUAAAAGAUUUUCAAAGCUCACUUAACAAGUUGGGAAUGAUGGACAUAUAUUCACCAACUUGAGGGGGAGAGUUGGCGUGAGCAAAUCAAGGAGAAAGAAAUGUCAAAGUUUGACAGAUUGUGAAGAAAAUCUACUGUCAAACUUUGACAUGAGCAAAAAAUAGGAUUUGUCAAAGUUUGACAGAUUAUGAAGAAAAUCUGCUAUCAAACUUUGACAAAUCUUAAAUCUUUGCCUUUAAUUUAGGCUGUAAAUUAGGAUCUAAAUUGUACAAAACUAGUAUAAAUAUUUGUAAUUGCUGGAAAAGUAAUUAGAGAGGUGAAACAAAAUUGUUCUUAAUUAUCUUUUCUACAAAAUUCUUCUCAAAGAAGCUAAGCAUAGUGGGGAUGGUUGGAGUAGCAAUAGAGUGCGAAACUUAGAAGCCCAAAUAAAGGCUGAAGUUGUUAAAGAGGAAAUCUAUUGGGCUCAAAAAUCCAGACAAGUGUGGUUGAAAAAAGGGAGAUAAUAAUACUGCUUUUUUUCAUGCUAAGCUCAGCGGUAUAAAAGAAAUUUCAUUAAUGGUAUUGAAGAUGCUCAGGGAGUAUGGCAUAUUGAACAAAAAGAGAUUGUAGCUGUUGCUUUGGAUUAUUUUGAAGCGAUAUUCACAUCUUCCAAUCCCUGUAACUUUCAGAGGGUCUCUUAAGGUAUCCGAUGUCGAGUUACUUCUGUUAUGAAUGACUUUUUAAUUCGGGAGGUCUCUGAUGAUGAGAUUCAACAAGCAGUAUUCAGCAUCCAUCCCUUAAAAGCUCCUGGAGAUGAUGGUAUGACAGCUCAAUUUUUUCAUGUGUAUUGGGAUGUCAUUAAAGAAGACAUAUUCAAGGCUAUUAGAAGUUUCUUUAGUUCAGGAAGGAUGCUUAAAAAUAUCAACCACACUAUUAUCUCUUCGAUUCCUAAAACUAAAUAAGUUAAAACCAUGCAGCAUUUGAGGCCUAUUAGUUUGUGCACAGUGUAUUAUAAAAUCAUUGCUAAGGUUCUCACUAACAGACUGCAAGGAACCAUGCACCACGUAGUUGGAGAUCAUCAAAGUGCUUUCACAAAAGGCAGACUUAUUUCAGACAAUAUUCUCUUAGCUCAUGAACUGAUGCACUCCUUAAAAACUAGAAGAAACAGUGGUAGGUAUGACAUGGCUAUUAAACUUGCUGUCAGCAAAGCCUAUGAUUGAUUGAAUGGGAUUUUCUUAGUCAUAUGAUGAACCAACCUGGUUUUCAUUCUAAAUGAUAAACUGGAUUAUGGCAUGCGUUACCUCUGUUUCUUAUUGUGUCAAAAUCAAUGGACAGAAGUAUGGUUUUAUCACUCUUUCUAGAGGACUCAAGCAAGGAGAACCCCUCUCCCUAUAUCUAUUUCUUCUAUGUGUUGAAGGAUUCUCUGACAUGAUUACUAGAGCUGAGAGAAUGAACCAAAUUUCAAAUGUUAAAAUUGCUAGAAGGUCUCCUCCAAUAUCUCAUUUAUUAUUUGCUGAUGACUCCAUUUUGUUUUGUAGAGCAUCUGAGCAGCAAGCCAUUCACAUUAAAAGCAUCCUUACUUAAUAUAGCCAAGCCAGCAGCCAACAGGUUAAUUUUCGCAAAUCUUUUAUCUUCUUCAACCGCAACACACCUUAUGCUUGUAGAGAUUCAAUUGCUCAAUAUCUGGGAAUCAAUCAUAUAGGAGGGUAAGAUAAAUAUUUGGGUCUCCAAUCAGUUAUCUCUCGCUCAAAAAGGAUCACUUUUGCCGAAAUUCAAGAAAAAAUAAGGCAAUGACUCAUGAAUUGUAAAGAAAAAUUGCUUUCAACUGCAGGUAAAGAAGUCCUAAUCAAAGCAAUUGCUUCAGCCAUUCCUAUUUCCUCUAUGUCGUGUUUCAAGCUUCCUAUUAGUUUAUGCCGUAAAAUUAAUUCCACCAUAGCUCAGUUUUGGUAGGGCCAGAAAGAAGAUGAAAAAAAAAAAAACACUGGUUAUCAUGGAAUUCAUUAUGCAAAUGAAAAGUAGAGGGAGGUUUGGGCUUUCGAGAUUUAGAAUAUCUCAGUUUGGCUUUGCUUGGAAGCAAUGUUGGAGCAUCCUUAAAUUUUCAGAAUCGUUGCUCUCUCGAGUUUUAAAAGGAAAAUAUUUUCCUUUUUCAUCUUUUCUUGAAGUUGGGCAUAAGCGUAAUCAAUCUUGGGGAUGGUAAGAGUAUUUUAAAAGGAAAAGAAUUUCUUAAGCAAGGUCUUCAAUUGAAAAUCAGAAAUGGAAAAUCUGUUUUUUAUGAUGAUCCACGGCUACCACCAAAAUUUCCCUUCAAGCCAUGCCUUCUCAAUGGUGAUCAUAGCAGAAUAUAUUGGGUUUCGCAACUUAUUAAUUCCACCACUGGUAUUUGGAACUAUAAUCUUGUGCGGACUAAUUUUGUUGAUGCAGAUGCCAAAGUAAUCUUAUCUCUUACUUUUAGCAUCACUACAGCUCAAGACACCUUAGUGUGGCACUAUACCAAAAAUGGAGAGUACUCAGUUUGUUCAGGCUAUCAUAAAGCUUGCAAGCAAAAAGAGUUAUGUUCUUCUCAACAUCAAAUGAAUUCGAGCUAUGGAGCAGGUCAACAAUAAUUAUGGAAGAAUGUAUGGUCUUUGAAUGUUCCAAAUAAAAUCCGCAUCUUUUAAUGGAGAGCUUUACACAAUAGUCUUCCUGUAGGGAUCUCUUAGCUAAAAGGUUCCCUACAAAAACGAAUCUUCAUAAGUUGUGCUCUGAUGUAGAAACCUCAUCGCAUCUAUUUUUUUUGCGCCACAAGGCUGCUGCUGUUUGGAUCCAUUCUCCCCUGCAAUUACGAACCGCGAAUUUCAAUGGAAUGGAUUUCAAGGAAUUCUGGCAAAUUAUUUAUCAAAACCUUUCCAAUUCUGGAAAUCAUGAUAUGGUAGCUCUUGCUGUUUUUUUUUGUGGCAGAUUUGGAAGGCAAGGAAUGCUCUCAUUUUUCACGAUCAAGAUUGGAACUGGAAAGAAAUCUUAGAGAAAGCUUUUUUUCACAGUCAAGAGUUCAAAGAUGCUUGCAAGCUUUUGAAUCAUCCAAAUGAUCAACCAUCUUCAUCUCUUGAAGAAUCUACAACACCUCCAAAUGUUGUGAAGGUCAAUUUUGAUGCAGCUGUGAAAAACAAGAUGAAUUAUGGUUGCAUUGCCAUUAUAGCACGUUCUCAUUUGAACAGGAUUAUAACAUGGUCAGUGAAGCAAAUCCUUUUUCAAACCAAUCCCAUUAUUUUGGAAGCAAUGGCUCUUAGACAAGCUGUGGAAAUGGCUUUACAGCAUCAUUUUCACAAUGUUAUUUUUGAGGGAGACCCAAAAAUAGUCAUGGAUGCAGCUUCAAAGACGUCUUCUCCUUUUGUUUGUAUUCAAGGCUUAAUACAUGAUGUUUCCUAUCUAGCUACUCAGUUUUCUUUAGUUUCUUUGAAGUUUAUUAGAAGGCAUUUUAACAGUGAUGCCCACAAUCUAGCUAGAAAAGGUUUGAAUCUUUCUUUUGUAUUAAUAUCUCAUCCCAAGUUUCAUGGAUCAGGGAGUGAUACUAAUCGUAGAAUUUUAUUUCCACUUUUUCAAUGAAUUUCUAUUUGGUAAAAAUAUAUAUAUAUAUAUAUAAAGCAGCAAUCGUCAUGGUUUAAUCAUGAUAAGCACGUCCACCUCCACCUCCACCUCCACCUCCACCUCCACCGCCCUUUCCAUCAUUGCCACCCAUCACGGUUGCCUUUCUCAAUUCUUUUUUUUUUUUUGACAUGUCCUUUCUCAAUAAUCAAAUGAUACAUGAAAUUAUGAUUUUAUGACUUCAAAUUUUAGUCAAAAUAAAAAAAAAAUAUGUGUAAUAAGAUCUGUUGGUUGGUGAGAUGAUCAAUAUUUCAAAGAAAGAGAAAGAAAUACUUCUAGAAAUUAGAGCCAAUUACAAUAAUAAAUUAUGUAAUUCAAAUUAAAGAUGAGGGAAAAAAAAAAAAAAAGAAAAGAAAAGAAAAGAGGGAAACCCAUAAACUAAAAAGACGAUGAUAAAAAAAAUAGAGUACAAAGCAUGCGUGAGGAAAGAUUGUUCAUUAUCACGAAUCUAGGCCCUCUUUCUCUUCUUCAUGAUCAAGAAAGCUAUCAUGUGAAAGCUCCUUUAUCCACUCAAAUGUUCGAUGACGUGACAUUACUUGCUUUCCCUGCUGUUGCUGCUUUUCCGUCAUUUUCUUCUUCUUCUUCUUCUUCUUUAUCUUCAUUUCUUGUAGUUUUUGCUCCGCUUUUGUCGACCCUCUUUCUUUGCUUUUCUCAUUUUUGCUAUCAUUAAUACUUCCCGUGCUGUUGUUACCGCUUUUAAUAUUGAGUACAUUUAAUGGAACUGGUUUAACUGCACUAACUGUACAACUGCAACCACUUAAUAGCCCUGAUUUUUUGUCCAAGAAACGCUGUUUACACCGUUUCUUCUGUUUCUCCAUCUUUUCUUGAUUGCCCUUGCUACUAAUCUUGAUACUUGAAUUGCUGUUACUGCUAUUAGAACUGCUGUUUCUACUAACAGAGGCUCGAACUUUAAGAUCUUGCAAUUCAAUCUCCGGGGUACGGACUACACCGAGUCUAAAAAUGUCCCAUACAGUUGAUUUUCUUGAAUUUCUGUUAUUGCCAGUAUUUCCUUUAGUGGAAAGUCUGAUUUGAGGCUUGGGACUCGGAUGGGUGUGAAAUUGAUUUUGAAUUAUUGAUCUUGGCUGCUUUGAAAUUGAAAUUCUUGGACUUUUUUUAACAGAGCUAGUCGUGCUAGUCGAUGAAAAUUGGCUUCUACUGCUACUGCUUCUGCUACUAAAACUUGUAAACCCAUGGUCCAAUGACUCUGAUCUUGAGAAACAUUUAAUAGGAUUUUUUAAGCUGUCUUGGCUCGACUUAUAAGUACCACUUUCAGAACUUAUUGAAAGACGAAAUGGAAGAAUUUGACCUUGAAAGAAAAUAUCAUCAGCUGCACACAUUUCUGAUUUUGUAGAAACAGACCUACCAAAUUGGCUAAAAUCAAAAUCUUCUUGAUUUGCUUCAGUUUCUUCUCUUCUCAAUUGAUGAUUCUCUUCUUUGAUCAAAUUGAUUGGUAAAUCACAAAGUGAUAAUGCUUCUACUUCUUCUUCUUCUUCAGAAUUUUCCCAUUUCCCUUCUUCGUUUCUUGCCAUUUCAAGAAACAGAGCUUUUAGUACCCAAAAAUAGUGUUGGGGUCCCUCCUAAGAAGAAAAACAAAGGAGAUGAAGAUUCUUAAGACUUAUAUCCAAGAAAGACGGCAUUUAAAUAAGAAAAAGGGAAAUAGAGGGAGAGAGAUUUGAAUUUGUUAUUCUAAGAGAGAAGCAGGGACAUGUGGAACUUAAAGAAAUAAAGCUACUGCAAGAAAAACAGAGGAUUAAAGAAAGAAAAUAAUAGCAGAAAUGGAGAAGUCAGUGGCUGUGCAGGCUCUCUUCUCUACUCAAAUAGUCCUUUUCUUUGGCUGGGACCAACACCUAAUUGGCCGGCCAUUACCUGAUUCUUUUACUGUCUACAAAUACCCUCUUUAAUGUAUUUGAAUUGGAGGCAAGAGGGUAUUCUCAAGUGGGGCUAUAUAUAAGAUAGUGUUAUAGGGACAUUUUUAUAUCAUGAACAUGCAAAUUUUUUUAUAUUUAUGCAUAUAGUUUAUAGAUAGAAGCAACCUUUUUUGGGUUUCUCUUCCAAGUAUAGAAUGUAAUCUAUAAAAUAAAAUGUCACACCAUCAUAGACAGCUUUUGUUGAGCUCUAUACACUUAAUAAUAGAUUCAAUUUAUGGAAUCAAAGUUUAUAUGGGAAUACAAAAAUCAAGACACCCACAAAUUCUUUGAGACAGGGACUAGAAGAGAAUUAAUAAAUCAAUAGGGAAUUGGUGAGGAUUUUAUUUGUGAAUUUUUAAUUAAUUUGAUUUUGGGUCGGUGUGGGUUGAUAAGAAUACUGAAAUGAUGUAUUUUAAUUUUGUAGGUGACUUGUGUGGUGGAAUUGGGCGAUUUGAAUGUUAUGUCAUGGAGAGCUUGUGAUAAUUGAGAAAGAAUGUGACUAAUCAAUCUCUUUCUCUUUCUCUUCCCAUGUCUUUAAUUUUGCUUUUCUUGUGGAAUGGACGUUUUUUGCCCUGUUGGAUCGGGUAGGAAAGGAAUGGCUUGUAUUUCAUUGUUUUAUACACGACAAAAAUUGUCUGUGAGAUUUUUUUUUUUUUUUUUAAAGGGAAAUAAUUAUUUUUAAGGAUAAAUAUCUCGUGAUGUUAUUUCAAUUUCUUUUCUUUUUUAUUUUAAAAAGUGAUUUAGAUAGUAAUUUAUAUUUAAAUUGAAUAAACGAGAUUUGUAAAAUCAAUAAUUCGAACUAUUAUAAAAAGUUCAACUCGUGAAAUAACAUUAUAAAAAGAAUAAUUCGAACUAUUGCGAAAUAACAUUAUAAAAGGAAACAACUACAAACCCAAAUCAAAUUCUUCUUCUUGUACCCAAAUAAUAUCUUAGUGAGAGUACCAAAAAGGAAAAUUCUUAUUUUCUUUUUUCUUUUAAGGAGUCUUGAGUUGACUUUAGUUGUCAACUACAACCAUUUUAUUAUAGUUUUGAAAAAACAAUGUUAAUUAUUUGUCAUAGCAUCUUAAGAAGGUUUUAAAUGAUUUUAAGAAAAAUAAGUAUUUUUGGAAAGUUAUUUACCAAUAAAAACAGGUAAAAAAGACUAUUCAUUCGAUAAUACAUAAAUAUAUACGUAUAUAGUGUUGGCUUAUCAUACGUCCAAAAUCAUUCAUAUAUCCACAUACAAUGUAUCAUUUUUGGUAUUCAACAAUCUUCUUUUUAAUGUUUUUUUUAAUUAAUAAUAAAUUCUUUUUUAAAAAAAAGGAAGAAAUCAAUCCGUAAUUAGAAAUUAUUAAUGGUAAAAUCUAUUUUUUGUAAUUUUAUGGAAAAAUGAAAUAGAAAUAUGAACCUUUCUUAAAAAAAAAAAAAAAAACAUAAAUAGAAAUAUGAAUCAUAUUUGAACUGAAAGAGACAAUAUUAGUUUUGUUUAAUGUUCUUGAACACGAAAGACAAGCAGCAGACCCACAAACCAGGUUCACGACCUGCUUUUCUUAUCCGUUUUACAAGGUAGAGCUGACGCUUGACAGCAAGUAAGAAAUUGCAAUUUUGUGAAUUAUUUUCAUGUCACUUCUCAUGCAUCAAAUUUAAGUGACAUAACUGAAUGUGGCAGUAGCAGCCCUUUAAGACUUUCAAAAGGAACAAAAAUAUAUUGAACAUGUAUUAAAAGAGGCCGAGGAUUUCAUCUUCAUGAACAGAAGAUAUAUAAUUAAACACAUCAAUUAUAGAAAGAACAUACAAAUAUACACAGGUCACAUUUUCCUUAAUCACUGUUAUUUAUUAUCUUUUUUUAAUUUGAAAAAAGAAAGCUGAAAGUUUAAUUACCCAACUUUAUUUAAUCCCCAUCUAUAUAUUCAUCCAAAAAAAAAAAAAAAACUAAAAAAAACUAAGGUGGUUUUCUUUUUUAAUUUUGAGGAAUAAAAUUUAAGGCUUCUUGGGACGACUAGUUAUAGCAUCAAUGGUACUAACAUCAGCAUCUCGAGGGACAGAGCCACCAGAAAGAGUGGGUGCAUCGGUGGCGCCGGCUCCGCGGCCAGGCUUUGGCUGGAGAUGGCCUUGAGUUCCAUAGCCCUUUAGCUUGUAAUCUUCCAAGUCCUUGUAUUGCAGAUAAGGGCUGUCCUCAACUGGAAGACCCUCUAAUUUCUCUUUCUUUUCCUGCUCUUCACGACUUUCUGUAGCUUGUUUUUCCAUCUUUAGAACUUCUGAUUUCUAUUCAGUUUCUCUCCAUCCACCACCUUCUUCCUUAUUCCAUAAUAUAUAACGGCGUUUUCUUAAUAGCUGUGGCUUUGCUAAAUGUCAGGCUACGUGUCUAAUUUGCAUGUGAAAGUGUUGUUAGUCAUAGAACUACGUGUCAAUAUGUCAAGGGCACUACAGGCAUGCAAAUUGUAAAUCCUCUUCGGACAAUAAUUGGAUUGAAAAAUACUUGUCUAAAUUGAAUUUAUCGCUACGAAUCAAAUCAGCCAAAAUAAAAAUUUAUAAAUUUUUUUUUUUUUCAAUAUAUAGUUAAAAAUGCCAUCCUUUCAAAUUCUAUUUCAACGGUUUGGUACAGUAAAUAUAUCAGAGAAUUUGAUGCUUUAAUUUCAAAGAUGAUAAGACGUAUUCUUAUUAAAUUAAAAACUUCAUUAAAAAAAACCAUAAACCUUAAAUAAAUGAAAUUGAUUUCAUAAGGAUACUCCCAAAAAGGUCAAUUUCAUAAAAGUAGUAGUUUUUAUCUUUUCUUUUAAUUAUUAAUUUCAUCCCUGCAUUUUGAAGGCUACUUUUCUAGAGCGAUUCAUUGUUUUAGAGAUUAACAUUAAUCGUAUUUGGAAACUAGUCAAAUGAAAAAGAAAGAAUCAACUUUUCCUUUUUAUGAAAAAGAAAUCGAAAUCAACCCCAAAUCUGUUUUUAAUCAGUACCAUCGGUUGCUUAAUAAUUUGACCGUAUUCUCAGAUUGGCUGUAUACCAAAAAUGUAAAGAACAGUCAUAAAGUGCACAACAGAAUAUAAAAAUUUUGAAUUUGUACUUAAAAAAAAUUAUGACAUUUUUAAGUAUUGUAUACUUAAAUUUAUAAAUUACACAUUAAGUACUCCGGUUUAAAAAAACUAUUAUAUUUACUCUUCAAUUUAUAAAAUGAUAUCAAUGAAUAUUUCUUGAACAAUUAAAAAAAAAUAAAACUUGCAUUGACCACGUCAAAUCAACAUUUUCAUGUAAAAUUUAAUUAUACAUGAGAUUUUUUUUUUUUUUUUCAUUGAGGGAAAUUUUAUCAUUUUACUUAUCCAACGUAUAAAAUGUAUUUUACUAUUCAUAUAAUUUGAUUGGAUCUGGCUUAAAAAGAAAUUAGGGCCGACUUUAAAAUUGGGCUUGCCAAAUGCCCAAAAACUGGUUUUGUCCCCCUGCAUUGUUAGGCCUGCCCAUUAAACAUGUGCAUCCGCUACUCGAUCAUUUACUUUCUAUUUUUACUCUUUUAAAUUUUUUCUUCCGAAAAAAAAAAAAAAAAAAAAAAAUAACUAUUAACUAUUACAAAUACAAGGAUAAUUUACAUCUCCGACAUCAUAAGCAAGCUAAGAAAUGAUACAAGACGGUGGGUUUUCGGAAGAUGAAAUCUUAAAGGUAAAGUAGUUACAAAAAUUUGCUAACCAAUCAGCACAUUAACUGACUUGCGAUGAAUAUGAGAUAAAUGAAACCGAACACCAUUAUAAGGGAGAGGCUUGGAUAUGUUUAACUGAAGGCCUCUCUCCACCUGGCAGAUCAACCAGGUCAAGAACCAAAUGAACUACCAGCGAAUUGUCACACGCCACCAUCCUAUUGACGACCAAUGAUAAUAGCUCAAAGCUCAGCCACUAAAAUGGAAAUCCUACCGAUAUGAAGAGAUGGUAAAGAACCAUCUUUUUUUCAGUUUCAGAAAUUCACAGAAUGGUGGAGACCAGCUAAUUUGAUUCAGCUGACAACCUGAGAAUGUAUUAACAGAAAAUAUCCAGCAAAGAGAAAUGAAAAUUUUGCGGUUGGUUUUCAUUGAUCGAUGUUGUUUAUAUAUAUACAAGUUGUUACAGAGCUUCUUCAAGCUAUUAUUCAUAACUGUUUGCUAACAACUAGUGCCAGCUAGGACUGACAGCAUAGCUAACAUUCUUCUAGAAUAAAUUAAUUGAUCCGCACCGUUUUACUUAUUUUCUUCUCUUGUUGCUGUGUUGCGUUUUGUUUAAAACUCCCCGUUUUGUCUCUUUGAGUUAAGUCUCCUAAUAUGUAUUAAAAUAUUGAAUUUCAAUUACUGGAAUCGUGAAGCUUUGUCAGCUAUGCAGAUGCGACUAACAAAUACACAUGGCAAUAACGUUAUUCUACAAACAAUUAGAUGGGUAAGACGCAUCUAAAAGUAGCUUAAUAUUAAAUUAAACUUGUCUCAGAGAAAUCUUUAACACAAAAAAAGUGAAAUCUUGAGAAAUCUACUAAUCAAGCAUAGCAAUACAAAUACUAAAAUGUAAAUAAAACUGUACACUAAGAAAGAAAACAUCUCCACACAUUGCCUUUUCUUUUUCAUGGUCUUUUCUUGUUUUCUUUCUCAGAGAACAACAUCAAACACUAAUCCAGCCUUCCAUUAUUUCCUGGAUAUAAACAAAUUAAUAUGACAUUCAUAGAAUUUUAAAACUAACAACUUAUCUAAUCCACUCCUCUCUUCGAGAAGGAGCAAAUUAAAAACCCAACUUCUCCUAUUUCAUAUGCUUCUUCUUCUUGGGCUAAGUCCAGCUAACUGCUAUUGGACUACCAACAACAUGUUUCCCAUCACUCCACUCUAAACGAGCAAACGCGUUAGUAUUAAUUGGCAAUGAACUUCCAGUUACAGUAACAGUAAAAGUUUUCUUCUCCUUUGCUUGGCUAAAGUUCAACACUUGAGGAUUAACUGAAAUUUUAACUCCCGUAAGCUGACCUGAAAUUGAAGCCUUAUAAGUCCCCGCACCAACCACAUUGGUAAGUGUUCGUGUGUAUUUAGCAACACUAGAACCACCAUUGAUCAUUUGUGUAGUAUCAAAGUUAACAGCAAAAGAAGGAUAGUUAAAAUCAUUCAAACUAUACUUCUUAUUCGAAUCGCAACUGAAUCUUCUUCUUGCAAGGCUAGUGAUUUGUGAUGCUGUGUAAUUUAACGCGCAGAGGAAACUUAAGUAGUCCUCGGAUGUUAGAUCGUAAACGAGCCCCGGAUCAAGGGCUGAUACUGGAUCAACAUGUCCUGCACCAUGGUCAAACGGAGUAGAGUCUUUCCCACUAGCAGUAUCUUUCAGUUUCUGUCCAUUUUUAUAAGCUACAUAAGCUGUAGUCAUUAAAGCUGAUCUAAUAGCUGCUGGACUCCAAUCUGGAUGUGCAGCCUUAAGCAGAGCAGCUAGACCACUAACAUGAGGACAAGACAUUGAAGUUCCUGAAAUAAUGUUGAACUCCACACGCCUUGGAUCUGUUGAUAGCCCAGUAGGACCAACUGAACCAGACCAUCCUGCUAAAAUGUUAACACCUGGGGCUAUUAGGUCUGGCUUGAGAAUAUCUGGUGUAAUUGAAUUAGGCCCUCUUGAGCUAAAAGCUGCAACAACUGGAGAUGGCUGAAUUCCAACUUUGGUGCCUUCAAAAAGAAUUGUAGCAGUUGGGUUUGAAUCU
RNAcentral lists this long non-coding RNA (77463 nucleotides) under Jatropha curcas. RNAcentral's name for it is "long non-coding RNA (JCUR_LNC002098)". The stretch from base 52137 to 52209 matches the Rfam family "tRNA". Lineage: Eukaryota; Viridiplantae; Streptophyta; Magnoliopsida; Malpighiales; Euphorbiaceae. The record is from RNAcentral.